UUUUCUUCCUUGCCGCGUACGGUUCCGACGCGUACAGCCACAAGGCACAUCGGCCGCUUUGCGUUAAGAGCGCAUAUCGCGAAGCGUCUAAACCAAUAGACAAGCCUGUAUGUUCAUGGUCACUACAUUUCUAGCACAGCAAAUGCCCCGUCCUGGCACCUGACAAAAUCCUACGUGAAGCACAAACUUACAUGAUGGACCAAACACGCAUACACCUGCCACUUUUUUUUUCAUCAAAGCUAACAAUUAUAUUACACUUUUAGACAUUACUACAAUUUCUCUGUAGUCAGUAGAUCCAAAGCUUUACUGAAUCAUUAGCUACAGCAAAAUGAAAUAAAGAAUUUCACAAAGGAAGUGCUUUGAAAAAUACCAACUGCAUCAAGUCAACUAGAGAUCACAACAGUAACAAGUCUGACUGAACCUUUUAGUACACUAGUAGGUUGACAAUAUGCACUAAGAUUUCGGAUAAUAAUGAUAACUGAUUGUUAUGGAUAAGAGGGCCUAUCACAGUAUAAUUUAGCCCCAUGAAACUAAGACAUGCCCAGAACAACAGCCAGUGCUAGGCAAACACGGACAAGGGUAAUAACAUUCUUUGAAAAUGAAAUGAUGCUUAAUCUGUAGGUUUACCAGGCAUUACUCUGAAGUCUGAACUGGAAAUCAAGCAAGCAGGAGUAUAAGCGCCAGCAAAUUGGAGGGGCAUGAUUGAAGCAGAUUCAGAGGCACACAGACAAAUUGUUCAGACAAAAGAAGAGCCAGUUUUUGGGAGGAAACAUAGGGGUGGUUUGAAGGUAAAGUUACUACCCCUCAGCAUCAGCUAAUGGCUCUGAGAACAGAGGAACAUAGGGUAGAAAUUUGUGUACACUGUUUUUCUCAAGAUUAAUGAUACAGCCAACUUUCUGAUGCGACAUGUCAUAUGAUACCAAGGUAUCACCUCCACACUGAGCCAGGAAAAUGGUGUCGCAAUCUGGAUGAAUCUCAACCACCCUGUACUUCUCCCAAGUCAUGCUCAUAAGUGUAUCUAUGCUGGCAGUAUGCUUUAGGACCCAUUGUUUACUGUCACAAUCCUUGAGGCACCAGAGUGCUAUCUCGGAAACUAGGAUUUCAUUGCUAUUAUUGGGAGGAGCUAUAGCAUAGUGUAAGCACCCCUGCGACAAUCCAAUAGUACCAAAUUUUGAACCAUACGGCACACGGAUAGUCUUCCACACUUUCCCCUCCAUGUCCACCCCCACCAGCACAUACUCGUCAUUGAUGUCCUCCAGGUUACCCAUGAUGUACAUCAUACCGCCAACAAAGACACAUUUACUCCUGAACAGGGUAGCUUUCUCAACUAUCCCGCUGUCUCUAUGAAUCCAGGCUCCUGUGCGAGACGAGUAGAUGUUCACUCAUGUGAUCAAAGUUUUCGGAAAGGUCCGCUCGAAACAAAGAACAUGGAAAUGGGACGAGACUGCUGGAUCGAAAGCCAGGCCUGCGGUAUGGUUAAGUCUGUUCAUUGUCUCCUGCGUUUGAGGUUGAGGUGGCAGCUCCACCCACCUCCCGGUGGCCGGAUUGCACACAACAAAAUGGUAAUCAUGACUGCUACUGUUGUAACGGCGGUAGAGAAGGAGGCCAUUGCAAGCGUCCACCAGGGUGAUGCCCUCAUCCUUGUUAGGAUGUAUGUAAGGGAGGGAAGGGUUGAAGGAGGCUGCGCCGCCGGAGAAACCGGCGAAGUGGUGGCGAUACCUGCUGUUGUAGAAGGACGUGUAGAGGAAGCCGGCAAGGGUCUGGGGCAGCUUCUUGUGGUUGGCGGGGUCGGCGAUGAGGUCGCGCCAGAGCACUGAUACGCACUUGAAGCGAUGGACGGAUCUGGCUAGGAGGCGGGAGAGGAUCUCCAGGAUGAGGUCGACGUUGAACAGACUGGCUGCCCCCGCCGCCGUCACCUGCGGAUGGUCGUCCAGCCUCGGCUUGGUGUUCCUCUCGCAGAUCUCCCCCUUCUCCGCCCCGUCCAUGGAACUCGGCCUGGUGUUCCCCUUGAAGAUCUCCCCCUUCUGCGCCUCCUCCAUGGAGGAGGAAGGGCUAGGCAGGGACACGGUCAGGUCAGAUCUGCAAAUGGAGAGAGGAAAUCAUGGAUCUGCCGGAGAAAAAUUAACCCGGUGGUGCCGGUGGUCCUAUGAGGAGUCAGAAAGGUACCUUGGUUUGGUUUACGAUAGCGACGGGUGCCGGCAGCAGGAUGCGGUCGGCGGCAUUUCGCUUCUCAGAGGACAGUGGGGAAGAACAACAUGGAAGCUAAACUUAGAAAGAGGAAAUGGGGAUGCUUGGAUUGGAUAGUCAUAGAUACAAACAUAACAAUGACAUGUAUGUAAAGAAUUGACAACUUUGAGAAUUUACCCUUUUCCAAACAUGACUAGAAGGAAACGUGCGCCUUGUUGUGCGGUUUUUAAUGCCACCGCAAACUAAGAGAAAAAAGCAAAUAAUUUCAAUGCCAACACAAACUAAGAGAAAAAACCUAGUCCAUCGCCACCUUCUCACUUGCCUCCCCCAACUAUAGUUCCUGCAUUUGGGCCUCCCUACCAAUGUCUUAUUUUCCAAAAAAUGCCUUCAGUUCUCAUGUAAGUCCUAUUUGUUAGAAGGGAGAGAGAUGAUUGGUGGAAUAGUUUGUUGUAUUUCUUGAGCCUCGUGGGCAUAUAUAUAGGAGUACAAUCAUCUACUUGGAGUACAAGACAAGCCAGAACAAAUCCUAGUCUAUCUCGUCUUUUCUAAUAAACAUUAUACUCAACAUCCCCCCGCAGUCAUAACGGUAGCGAUGCAGACGGUGAGACUGGAGAAGAAUCCGAAGGCAAGCCGACGGACACCCCCCCCCCCCACAGUCGUAAUAGUCGACGCAUCGCGGAGUCAUGGCUGGAGCGGAAACCAAUGAGGUUGGUCAAGCAGGCGGUAGCCCUUUGUGCCAUUUGUUGAUAUAGCCGAGAGCGUGUGUGGUGGAGCCGUGGUCGAGGUAGCCGUGCGAAGAAUGCCGUGGUCGAUGUCGAGUCAGGGUGGCCGAUGUCGAGGAAGUCGCCAUGGAGCCGCGGGCGCAAGGGGGCGCCGAGUUAGCAUGGGCCCGGUGGUGUCGAAGUAGUGGUGCGCCGGAGAGGAGAUGUUGUUGACGACGCGUCGCGGCGGGUUUGCCAAGCCCGGAGACAUAUCGUAGACGAAGGCACGCAUCGGUGUUGCCAGCACCGGGCAUGCAUAGACGGACGAAGACGAAGUUGACGAAACACCGACCAGGCUUGCCAGGCCCGGAGACACGUCGUGGAUGAAGGCACGCAUUAGUGUUGCCAGCACCGGGCAUGCGUAGACGAGGGACCUGCACAAACUGUACGCCAUGUCGGAGAAAUCAGAGGGGCCAGCAGAGAAGAACUCGACGACGAUUGCGGCGUCCAUCGGCGCGGGGCCGAUGUCACCAAUGGUGGUCGGAGUAGACGAAGUGGUCGGGGUAGAUGACGGCGACGCUGGCGAUGGGCUGGUGCUUGGACGAAGACGAAGAAGGUGGACGGGCGGUCGCGGCGGCUACGUGGGUAGCGGCGGCGGCCAAAGAAGAGUGGCGGCGGCGGCCUGACGGCGGCGGCGGCGGCUAGGUUAGGAGCGCGGCUGCGGUGCUCGAAGUAGGCGAAGAACCCUGACAGCUUGACGAAGACUGGCGCGGAUGGUGGCGUUCCCGCGCCAAGGGAGACGUUGCGGCGCAUACCACGGAAGGUCGACGUGCGGAGACGGCGGAGUGGACCGCGGGCCGCGGCGCUACGGCCCGAAGGGGCGACGCAGCAGCGGCAGACGGGUCGGGGAGACGGCGGGAAGACCUCUGGGCGGCGGAGGGACAGCGGGCCGUGACGUUGCGGCACAAAUGGGCGACACAACGGCGGUUCGCGAGUCGGUGCAACCGCGGGGACGGCCUCGGGAUGGCGGCGUGGACCGCGUGCCACGCUCGCUACGGCCCGACGGGGCGACGCAGCGGCGGCGCGAGGGGCGUGGCAACCACGGGACGGCCUAGAGCGCACGCCCUCGGGGCGGAGGGACCGCGGGCCGCGGCACUACAGCCCGAAGGGGCGACCCAGCGGUGAUGCGGGUCGGUGCAGCCGGGAGAAGAACCACGGGGCGACGGUGCUGCGGCCCGACGGGGCGACGCAGCAGCAGCCCGAUGCUCGAUCGGUGGAGAGGCGCUGAACUCAGGGACGGUCUUCACAGGACCUGCGGAGGCGCGCGUAACCGACGGGUCAGGUCAGUUGCGCGACGUAGAUGAGGCGGAUCGCGGCGGCGAGCGGGUGAUCAAGCCGAUCGCGCGCGAGGUCGGGGACGCCGCUCGGUGGAGGCGUGGUUAUGGCGGAGUCCGAGAUGAAGCUGGUGGCGGCGGGCGAUAGGGCGGCUAUGAUUGGCCGCCGCAUGGCGCGAGGCCGUCGGGUCGGGGUGAUGCAGGAGUCCCGGUCAGAGCAGGGCGGUGACGGCCGGCGUAGAUCGACGGGCGGGCCAUCGCGCGAACGGCGGCGGUGAAGGNNNNNNNNNNNNNNNNNNNNNNNNNNNNNNNNNNNNNNNNNNNNNNNNNNNNNNNNNNNNNNNNNNNNNNNNNNNNNNNNNNNNNNNNNNNNNNNNNNNNNNNNNNNNNNNNNNNNNNNNNNNNNNNNNNNNNNNNNNNNNNNNNNNNNNNNNNNNNNNNNNNNNNNNNNNNNNNNNNNNNNNNNNNNNNNNNNNNNNNNNNNNNNNNNNNNNNNNNNNNNNNNNNNNNNNNNNNNNNNNNNNNNNNNNNNNNNNNNNNNNNNNNNNNNNNNNNNNNNNNNNNNNNNNNNNNNNNNNNNNNNNNNNNNNNNNNNNNNNNNNNNNNNNNNNNNNNNNNNNNNNNNNNNNNNNNNNNNNNNNNNNNNNNNNNNNNNNNNNNNNNNNNNNNNNNNNNNNNNNNNNNNNNNNNNNNNNNNNNNNNNNNNNNNNNNNNNNNNNNNNNNNNNNNNNNNNNNNNNNNNNNNNNNNNNNNNNNNNNNNNNNNNNNNNNNNNNNNNNACGGCCCGCGAGGCCGCCGCGUCGGGGCGACAGACGGGCAGACGCGGGGACGGCCCGCGAGGCCGCCGGGUCGGUGAAGAAGCUGGCCAAUCGCGCCGGUGUUGGAGUAGAGGUGCACGGGGUCGACGGCGGCAGUGGGCGACGCAAAUCGGAUCACAUAGACCGGAAAACCAAAAAGUAGACGCCGAUCAAAGCGACUGGCGAGAGAGAGAAAAUCCGGAUCAAAGGAUCGGGAAAAAAGACUCUCUAGGGAAGCCGACCAACACGACCGGCGGACGAACCCUAGGUACGGGCGGCGCGGCCCCCGGCGACGGUCAUGGAGGCCGACCGCCCCGGGGGCGGCACGCAGGUGCGGAAGCAUUAUACUGAACACUAUUCACUUAGAGAGUUCCAAAGAGAGCAUUUGAUCAAAAGUUUAUUUCACCCUAACAAAAGCAUAUCAGAAUAUUGCAUACAACAAUGUGGUAGCUACAGACAUAUGAUACUAAGGCCAAAUCCAACGCGCAACCCUAAAUGGUCCGGCCGCGUCUAUUUGAGGCUAAAUGGAGACAAAUUGUGCCCCAACAUAUGGGAGCAAACGAAAAAUGUCCGCAAGAAUAGCAAACCUGUGAGCUUACAGAAGGAGACAGACAAGGCAACUUCACAGGCCGAGAAAGGCCGCGAUUUCCAUCUGACGUGAGCAGCACCAAAGCAGCCAACGCAGAGGAGAAGCAGCGGCCAGCACUGGAUCCUCCUCUCCGGCCAAGAGCGGUGCCACCCACUCUCCGAAGAGAGACCAGAGCCGCCGCCCCCUCAUCCAAAUAUGCAGGAUGAACAAAAGAUAAGAAUCCAAUCAGAGAGAAGGCAGAAUCACACCGACCCUAGCAAGGAAGAGCAGAGCGACGCGGACACAUGGACAACAAGGCGUCCCAAACCGCCAUCAAGGCAAUUUCAACCGGCCGAAGCAAACCGAUAUGAUUUUGUCCGCUUGGAUCGAUCAAAGAGAUGCACGUGUCUGAUUUUGGAUUUGAAUGCCCCCAACACCAUAGACGCAUUUUAAUUCACACGGUCUUAAAAAAAACAAAAUAAGCAUGCAUGCAUAUUAAUAAAACAUAAUAAAAAACACCAGCCAAAGUCCACUUUAAACCUAAUAAUUAUACAAAAAAACAUAAAUAAAUAAAAAACCAACCCCUCUGUCACAUCCCACAGCCCUAGUCAUCGUCCUCGGAGUGGUGGGGUUGGAGUACACCGCCACCUCAGCCCAAGGGAAGGCCCGCCGGUUGGCCACCGACGCUUCCUCCUCCGGUGUUUGCUGCUGCUGCGGCGACAAUGCUCCUUGGCACAGCGCGCACCUCCUCCUACUUUUGUCACCGCUCCUCCUCCUCCUCCUUGUGCGCCAAACGUUGUCGAUGCUCCUCCUUCUCGCGCUCCCGCUAAAUUUGCUGCUCGGCGUGGCCCACUCAUCUGCCAGCCGGUGCCCCUUCCACACUUCAAGGUGUUGCGCCUCCUCAUCGGCGGUGGAAUGCAUCCACACGGGCGGCGCGUUGACCCACUGCCCGAGGAUGCUGGUCCACUGGAACCUCCCACGGACGCCGUCGGGUAGAUCUAGCACCGCCUUGGGCACCAGCGAUGUUGGUGGUGCCGGUGGUGGUGGCGGGCAGACGCAUUCGACUGCCGUGGAGAGCUGGAGCGCCUCCUCCAUGCCAGUCCAGCGCGCGUCCUCCUCAUGCAUGACUCUUCAAGGGUGCGCUGGAGUGCCUCCUCGAGUGAGGCCUGGUACUCAGCCUCUGCUUCCACUCCUUCACCACCGGCGGUGGCAGUGGAGGGUGGGCCUCGACCUGGAUGGCCGUCGUGGCGCACAUCUUGCUCCAUGGCGAACUAGACGUGCCAGUUGGAGCUGUCUAGCAUCUGGGUCACGGUGAUGCACCAGCGUGAGAAGGGCAUGUCGGUUGUAGAUCUCUGCCGCAUGUGCUCGCUGACACUACUGCACGCCCGACAUCGGAAUGAGGUGGAGGUUGUGAUGCCAGCCAUGGGGAAGGUUGAUAUCCGGCCACGACAGUGGGACAUCCGACAAAUUUGAGUUUGAAAUGCAUCCACACGGACACGAGGCGAACGAAAUUUGGGUUUGUGUCGGCGUGUUGGGCCAGAAUUUUCGUAUGUUUUGACCCAAACAGACACGCGCGGACCAAAUGUGUCGACGCGUUCAAGUAGCGCUCAUUAUACACUAGUGGGCCCAAAAGUCAAACCCAAUGGUGCAUACACGUACUGGCAGGGCCCAUCCAGCUGCCGACCACCCUUGAUUCACCAGGACGCUCGUAGCCGAGAGAGCUUAGUAACUUUACUGAUUGCAAUUUGUCCUGCUCAGACGAUUUGCAAUACUAUGUAGAUGAACGGUUCCUCACAAAAAAUAUGUGGAUGAACGUAGGGAUAAACCCUUUGCGGUGCAAGACCUCAGAUAAGAAUGACCAACUAACCCUGUCGUACGUUUUUUCGAACUCUAGUUUAAGAAUAAUUGUAAGCAUUUUCGUCCUUUCGAGCUCAUGCAUGAUUUCGUUAAGACAAAGAACCCCUUUGAUAAUAAUUGGACCCUUAUUAAAGGCCGUUUGAGACAUGUCUGACAAUUUUAGCAGCAAUGGACGGCCUCUCGCGUCCGUGUUUCGAGGACUGGUCCACCCAUGUCCGUGGAGGGAUGCGGAAAAAAUUUACGGGUUGUCGUUGGAGAUGCCCUAAUAAUAUGUUUGAUGAUUCUUGCCCUUUAAAGCAACCUUGUAAAAUAGUGGAUGUCGUGACAUCACCCUGAUGGCAGCUAUCUUUCCAAAGCAUCAGCUCUUACGACUUGUAGACUACAAGCUCUGCUCUGAUAGUUCUGUAACAGCGGCCAAAAUCUCCUAGAGCAUUAUUCUAGAGGCGUGCGAAAUCAUGAGCUUUAGCUAUGAUCGUUCGAAGACAAUCAAGGAUAAGCCUCUACUCUAUCUAAUACAUAUACGUCCCCUCCAACAAGGGCAAGACACUUCAGCAAUUCUAUUCAGCACCUUUCUAGUACGUAGUUGGCAAGAGGGUUGCAGGAGGAAAUAGCUAAUCAGACCUAAUCAACAAAAAAUGCUAAACAGUCACAUAUUCCCCUGGAGCAUCAUUACAUUUCCUAAUAACUCUCAAUCCUAGCACCUUGGUGCACACCAUUGUACACUGGCCAUCAUGUUGGUAAUUCACUAGUAAGCAAUCUUCGAGCGGACUUGCCUACUCGGGCUACUAAUUUUGUAUAUCCAUCAGAAUGAAACUGUCUUUGAUGUUUCUCUCUCUGAUCUCUCUUGACCUCCGAGGCUCCGACCACACUUCUUAGUGCAUUAUGCUUUCUUUGAUGAAGGGUAUCCCUCCCCUUUUAUGGAGUGUAUCUUCAGUGCCAUGUACAAUAGUGCAAAGGCUGCAACAGCAGGUUUCAGAUCAUUUUUUAGAGAAAAGGCCUAAGCCCGACUUUAUAAAUAAAGCCACAAGGCAGCGUCAUAAACCCAAACAUCAACCAGGGCGAUACACCCAACAUCCACAGCAUCAGAAAUAAUCCAAGGCACACGAAAGUACUAGGGGUACAUGGCAACCUGCCAAACACGGCAUGCAGGCCGGAAGGAAAACGAAACAACCACCAACAGGAAGGACGAGACUGCACCAAGCAGGUUAGACAUCAGGAGCCUCCCCGGAGAUGGAGGACGCCGAGGCCCGAAUUUUAGAGAUUAGCAGGUCCAGAGCUCCCCGAUCAUCCUCUUUAGUCAAUGAUCUCCACUGCUGCAAGAAUAUACAUGAUUUGAAAAGAACGUCAGCAACCUUCGAAGGAAAGACAUGUUCAAUAGUAAAUUUGUUCCUAAUCGUCCAAAGGGACCAGCAAAUCGCACCCAAGCCAACCCAGAAAACCCUCUUAGUGACCCCAACCAACGAGUUGGCUAGGUUUCUCAUCUCUCGAAAGGAAGAGGGGUUCCAAGUAACCUGGAGCCACGACCGGUCGCAGCUCCACACUAACUUAGCGGAAACACAGUGAAAGAAGAUGUGCUCCGUGUUUUCCACAGCACCGCAAAGAGCACAAAAUUCCGAGCCCGGACCAUUACGCUUACGGAUUUGGUCAGCAGCGGGGAGCCGCCCUCUAAAGGCUUGCCAGAGGAAGAUUUUAACCUUAGGAGGAACUUUGGACCUCCAAAUGCAAGAGAACCUAUUGGAAGGGACGCCUCCGAUGAGCCUCGCGUACAAAGACUUAACCGAAAAGCGACCAGAGGCAGAAUGAGGCCAGACAACAGAAUCCGGAGACUCCGAGAGCAGGGGGAAGAAGGCAGAAAGGCUUUGCCAGUCUUCCAACUCUUCAGGAGUCAGGGAGCGGCGAAAGGCCAAAUCCCAAUUAUUAGCUGCCACCUCCGUGAUGGAGAUUUCAGGGUUAGGACAGAAAGAAAACAACACCGGGAACCUAUGAGCCAAAGGAGCAUCACCACACCACCAGUCGCGGCAAAAACGAACCGAGGUACCAUCGCCCACAGUAAACUUAACAUGAUCCAGGAAGAGAGGCCUGACUUUAAUAAGGUCCUUCCAGAAUUGAGAUCCACGCCAGGCACCGGCAAACAAAGGACUGGAGUGAGGAAAGUAUUUAGCCUUAAGGAUGGAAUACCAAAGAGAGUCGGCCCCACUGGACAUUAUUUUCCACCACCAUUUAAUUAACAGACACUUGUUCAUGACCAGCGUAUUAAUAAUGCCUAACCCUCCAAGGUUUUUAGGCCUACACAUAAGCUUCUAUUUAACCAACAUGUACUUCCGUUUAUUAUCAGCAGCGUUCCAAUAAAAAGCACCCCUAUGCUUGUCAAAACCAGCAUGGGUGCCAACUAAAAGAAGAUAGAAGCCCAUAAGAAACAUUGGGAGGGAGGAGAGACAAGCAUUAAUGAGAGCAACUUUGCCAGCAUUGGUAUUGUAUCUACCACGCCAGGGAAGGACCCUAUUUCCCACCUUAGACACAGCCGAAGCAAAGUCCUUAGCAUGAAGCACCACAGGAGAGAUAGGAAGACCCAAAUAUUUGAAGGGGAAAGUGCCCAAGGAACAAUUUAGCAACCUAGCAACUCUCAAGGCCUCUGUAUCAUCGACGCCAGUAACAAGAACCUCACUUUUGGAAAAGUUAAUUUUCAGGCCCGAGACAGCCUCAAAGCAAAGCAGGAUGAACUUAAGGUGGGCAAUGCAGGCAUCAUUCAAUUCGACCAUAAUGAUGGUAUCAUCGGCGUACUGCAGGUGAGUAAUACCAUCCGGGACUAGGUGAGAAGCCACAGGCAAGAUAUGACCAUGCUGCACCGCCCUAAGAAGAAUGUGGGAGAAGGCGUCGGCCCCAAAAUUGAAAAGCACAGGGGAGGCAGGGUCCCCUUGACGCAAGCCUCAGCCGUUAACAAAGAAAUUACUAAUGUGACCAUUCACAGAGACCGUGGUGUGACCGCCCAAGACCAACUGCAUGGUACGAUGCACAUAAGCCCCAUCGAAGCCUUUCGCAAGAAGGACCUGCCUUAGAAAAGGCCAGCUAACCGAAUCAUAGGCUUUCUCAAGAUCAAGUUUUAAAAUGAUCGCUUUGGAGUUACGAGCCCGCAGGUCAUGAACAAUUUCAUGAAGACAGAGGACCCCGUCUAGAAUGAAGCGCCCUUUGAUGAAAGCAGACUGAUGCGGGCUGAUGACUCUAUGGGCAACGGGGGAUAGGCGAUUGGUGAAACCCUUUGCAGGGAAUUUAGCAAAGUUAUUAAUCAAAGCGAUGGGCCUAAACUGAGAGAUCAAUUCGGCACCUUUAACUUUAGGGAUCAGGGAUAUCACCGCAUAGUUAAGUCAAGAAAUAUCAACAGUGCCUAGGCAAAACCCUUGGAUGGCAUUACAAACUAACUGCCUCAACUGAGGCCAAAACUUCCGGAAGAAAGGAAUAGAGAAACCGUCCGGCCCAGAUGCAGCGUUCGGGUUAGCAAAAUUUACCACAUCCCAGAUCUGCUUAUCAGAAAGGGGGAUCAUCAAUGCAGCGUUCUCCUCGGCCGAAACCCUCAAACUAUGGUCCCUUAGGAUAGGAGAGAUAGACAGUCCCGAAGGAGGUUUGGCCCCUAACAACGAAGAGAAGAACUCAACCACAUGAGAUAGGAUUAACGAAUGGUCUGAAGUACGCACACCAUUAAUGAUCAGGCUAUUAAUACCACACCGCCUCCGCCUACCAUUAGCAAUGCCAAAGUAAGCCGUUGGGGAGUCCCCUAUCAAGGUCCAGUUAAGCGUACCUUGCUGGCGCUAGUAAAUUUUCGCCUGAUGAUGCAACUGCAUCAAGGCGGCCUCAAGGUUAUAACGGAGAGACCACCCAUCGUCAGAGAGCCCAGAGGAGUCAACUGAUACGUCCAUUUUGCAACAUGCUUUUAUAUCAAUAUUUAUUGCAUUAUAGGCUGUUAUUACACUUUAUAUCUCUUUACUUAUGGCUAUUCUCUCUUAUUUUACAAGGUUUACCAUGAAGAGGGGGAAUGUCGGCAGCUAGAAUUCUGGCUGGAAAAGGAGCAAACGUUGGGAACCUAUUCUGCACAGCUCCAAAAGUCCUGAGACUCCAUGAAACAACUUUUUGGAAUUAUUAAGAAUUUCUGAGUGAAAGAAAUAGGCCAGGGGCCCCACACCCUGUCCAGGAGACAGCCCCCCCCCCUAAGGGUGCGCCCCUAUCUCCUGGGCCCCCUGGUGGGGCUCCGGCGUCCAUCUUCUGCUAUAUCAUCAUUUUUACUCUGGAAAAAAUCGUCGGCAGGCUUACGGGACGAAACUCCGCCGCCACGAGGAGGAACCUUGGCGGAAUCAAUCUAGGGCUCUGGCGGAGCUGUUCUACCGUGGAGACUUCCCUCCGGGAGGGGGAAAUCAUCACCAACGUCAUCACCAACGAUCCUCUCAUCAAGAGGGGGGUCAAUCUCCAUCAACAUCUUCACCAGCACCAUCUCCUCUCAAAACCCUAGUUCAUCUCUUGUAUCCAAUCUUGUAUCAAAACAACAAAUUGGUACCUGUGGGUUGCUAGUAGUGUUGAUUACUCCUUGUAGUUGAUGCUAAUUGGUUUACUUGGUGGAAGAUCAUAUGUUCAGAUCCUUUAUGCAUAUCAUUACUCCUCUGAUUAUGAACAUGAAUAUGCUUUGUGAGUAGUUACGUUUGUUCCUGAGGACAUGGGUGAAGUAUUGCUAUUAGUAGUCAUGUGAAUUUGGUAUUCGUUCGAUAUUUUGAUGAGAUGUAUGUUGUCUUUUCCUCUAGUGGUGUUAUGUGAACGUCGACUACAUGACACUUCACCAUUAUUUGGGCCUAGAGGAAGGCAUGGAGAAGUAAUAAGUAGAUGAUGGGUUGCUAGAGUGACAAAAGUUUAAACCCUAGUUUAUGUGUUGCUUCGUUAGGGGCUGAUAUGGAUCCAUAUGUUUAAUGUUGUGGUUAGGUUUACCUUAAUACUUCUUUUGUAGUUGUGGACGCUUGCAAUAGGGGUUAAUCAUAAGUGGGAUGCUUGUCCAAGUUAGGGCAGUACCCAAGUUCCGGUCCACCCACAUAUCAAAUUAUCAAAGUACCGAACGCGAAUCAUAUGAACGUGAUGAAAACUAGCUUGACGAUAAUUCCCAAUGUGUCCUCGGGAGCUCCUUUCUCAUUAUUAGAAAUUGUCCAGGCUUAUCCUUUGCUUCAUAAAGGAUUGGGCCACCUUGAUGCACUUUAUUUACUUAUUGCUUGUUACUAUUUAUCUUAUCACAAAACUAUCUAUUACCUACAAUUUCAGUGCUUGCAGAGAAAACCUUACUGAAAACCGCUUAUCAUUUCCUUCUGCUCCUUGUUGGGUUCGACACUCUUAUUUAUCGAAAGGACUACGAUAGAUCCCCUACACUUGUGGGUCAUCAAGACUCUUUUCUGGCGCCUUUGCCGGGGAGUGUAGCGCUUUUGGUGAGUGGAACUUGGUAAGGAAACAUUUAUAUAGUAUGCUGAAAUUUUCUGUUACUUGUCACUAUGGAAACUAAUCCGUUGAGGGGCUUGUUUGGGGUAUCUUCACCCCAACCAGAAGAGCAAAGAUUUGCUCGUCAACUUACUGAACUUUAUGAAAAUAUUUACUUUGAGAUUCCUUCGGGUAUGAUAGAGAAACUGCUAGCUAAUCUAUUUGCAGGAGAUGGAACAUUGCAUCCCGAUUUACACCUUAUCUUUGUGGAUGAAGUUUGUGGAUUAUUUAAGCUUGCAGGUAUUCCCGAUGAUGUUGUCAAAAGGAAGGUUUUCCCUUUAUCUUUGAAGGGAGAUGCAUCGACAUGGUAUAGGCUAUGUGAUGAUACGAGAUCUUGGAAUUAUAAGCGAUUGAAGUUGGAAUUUCACCAGAAGUUCUAUCCUAUGCAUCUUGUUCAUCAUGAUCGUAAUUACAUAUAUAAUUUCUGGCCUCGCGAAGGAGAAAGCAUCGCUCAAGCUUGGGGGAGGCUUAAAUUAAUGUUAUAUUCAUGCCCCAAUCAUGAGCUCUCUCGGGAAAUGAUUAUUCAGAAUUUUUAUGCUCGGCUUUGUCUUGAUAAUCGCAACUUGCUCGAUACUUCCUGUGAUGGUUCUUAUAUGCUGAAGACUACUGAUUUCAAAUGGGACUUAUUGGAAAGAAUUAAGCGCAACUCUGAAGAUUGGGGUUCCGACGAUGAUAAGGAGUCAGGUAUGACACCUAAGUUCGAUUGUGUUAAAUCUUUUAUGGAUACCGAUGCUUUUCGUGGAUUUAGCGCUACGUAUGGACUUGACUCUGAGAUAGUAGCUACUUUUUGUGAAUAUUUUGCUACUCACAUUGAUCUCCCUAAAGAGAAGUGGUUUAAAUAUAAUCCUCAUGUUGAAGUGAAAGUAGUUGCACCUAUUACAGUCGAAGAAAAGACUAUUACCUAUAGUGAUCCUAUUGUUCCUACUGCUUAUGUUGAAAAACCUCCUUUUCCUGUUAGGAUAAAGGAUCAUGCUAAAGCUUCAACUAUUGUUCGUAAGAGUAAUACUAGGACUUAUACACCUCCUGAGCAAAUUAAUGUUGAACCUAGUAUUGCUAUGGUUAAAGAUCUCUUGGAUGAGGACUUAGAUGGGCAUGUUAUUUCUUUCUUGGGUGAGACUGCUAAUAUUGCUAGACCUGAUACUAAGACACGUAGACCUGUCGUAGGCAUGCCUGUUAUUUCUGUUAAAAUAGGAGAUCAUUGUUAUCAUGUCUUAUGUGAUAUGGGUGCUAGUGCUAGUGCGAUACCUUAUGAUCUUUAUAAAGAAAUUAUGCACGACAUUGCACUCGAUGAAUUAGAAGACAUUGAUGUUACUAUUAAGCUUGCUAAUAGGGAUACCAUUAAACCUAUUGGGAUUGUGAGAGAUGUUGAAGUUUUGUGUGGGAAGGUUAAAUACCCUGCUGAUUUUCUUGUUCUUGGUUCCCCACAAGAUGAUUUUUGUCCCAUUAUUUUUGGUAGACCCUUCUUGAAUACUGCUAGUGCUAAGAUUAAUUGUGAAAAUAAUAUUGUCACUGUUGGCAUAGAUGGUAUGUCUCAUGAGUUUAAUUUUGCUAAGUUUAGUAGACAACCUCGUGAAAGGGAACCACCUAGUAAGGAUGAGAUUAUUGGUCUUGCUUCCAUUGCUGUUCCUCCAACUGAUCCAUUAGAACAAUAUUUGCUAGACCAUGAAAAUGAUAUGUUUAUGAAGGAAAGGGAAGAAAUAUAUGAAGUGUUCCUUAAACAGGAACCUAUGCUGAAACAUAACCUUCCCGUUGAAGUUCUUGGGGAUCCUCCUCCACCAAAGGGUGAUCCCGUGUUUGAACUCAAACCAUUACCUGAUAAUCUUAAGUAUGCUUAUCUUGAUGAAAAAGAAAUAUAUCUUGUUAUUAUUAGUGCUAAACCUUCAGAGAAAGAAGAAGAAAGAUUAUUGAAAACUCUGAAGAAGCACCGAGCAACUAUUGGAUAUACUCUGGAUGAUCUUAAGGGCAUUAGUCCCACAUUAUGUCAACACAAGAUUUCAGUGGAGAAAGAUGCCAAACCAGUUAGGGAUCCUCAAAGACGAUUAAAUCCCAAGAUGAAGGAAGUGGUAAGAAAGGAGAUACUAAAGCUCCUUGAGGAAGGUAUUAUUUAUCCCGUUGCUGAUAGUGAAUGGGUAAGCCCUGUCCAUUGUGAAUUGAUCCCACAAAGAAUUAUUAUAGGUUAUAGGAUGGUAAUUGAUUUCCGUAAGUUAAAUAAAGCCACUAAGAAAGAUCAUUACCCUUUACCUUUUAUUGAUCAAAUGCUACAAAGGCUAUCCAAACACACACAUUUUUGCUUUCUAGAUGGUUAUUCUGGUUUCUCUCAGAUACCUGUGUCAGUGAAGGAUCAAUCUAAAACUACUUUUACUUGCCCUUUUGGUACUUUUGCUUAUAGACGUGUGCCUUUUGGUUUAUGUAAUGCUCCUACUACCUUUCAAAGAUGCAUGAUGGCUAUAUUCUCUGAUUUUUGUGAAAAGAUUUGUGAGUAUUCAUGGAUGACUUCUCCGUCUAUGGAUCCUCUUUUGAUGAUUGUUUGAGCAACCUUGAUCGAGUUUUGUAGAGAUGCGAAGACACUAGUCUCGUCCUGAAUUGGGAAAAGUGUCACUUUACGGUUAAUGAAGGCAUUGUCUUGGGGCACAAGAUCUCCGAGAGAGGUAUUGAAGUUGAUAAAGCCAAAGUUGAUGCUAUUGAAAAGAUGUCAUGUCCCAAGGACGUAAAAGGUAUAAGAAGUUUCCUUGGUCAUGCCGGCUUUUAUAGGAGGUUCAUUAAGGACUUUUCUAAAAUCUCUAGGCCUCUAACUAAUUUAUUGCAAAAAGAUAUUCCUUUUGUCUUUGAUGAUGAUUGUGUAGAAGCGUUUGAAGUGCUUAAGAAAGCUUUGAUAACUGCACCUAUUGUUCAGCCACGUGAUUGGAAUUUACCUUUUGAAAUUAUGUAUGAUGCUAGUGAUUAUGCUGUAGGUGCUGUUUUAGGGCAAAGAGUUGAGAAGAAAUUGAAUGUUAUCCAGUAUGCUAGUAAGACUCUUGAUGCUGCCCAGAGAAAUUAUGCUACUACUGAAAAAGAGUUCUUAGCAGUUGUGUUUGCAUGUGAUAAGUUCAGACCUUAUAUUGUUGAUUCCAAAGUUACUAUUCACACUGAUCAUGCUGCUAUUAAAUAUGUUAUGGAAAAGAAAGAUGCUAAGCCUAGACUCAUUAGAUGGGUUCUCUUGCUCCAAGAAUUUGACUUCCAUAUUAUUGAUAGAAAGAGAGUUGAGAACCCCGUUGCAGAUAACUUGUCUAGGUUAGAGAAUAUUCUUGAUGACCCACUGUCUAUUAAUGAUAGCUUUCCUGAUGAACAAUUAGCAGUCGUCAAUGCUUCCCGUACUGCUCCUUGGUAUGCUGAUUAUGCUAAUUACAUUGUUGCUAAAUAUUUACCGCCUAGUUUCACAUACCAGCAAAAGAAAAAGUUCUUUUAUGAUUUAAGACAUUACUUCUGGGAUAAUCCACACCUUUAUAAAGAAGGAGUAGAUGGUGUUAUUAGACGUUGUGUGCCUGAGCAUGAACAGGAACAUAUCCUACGCAAGUGUCACUCUGAAUCUUAUGGAGGACACCACGCUGGAGAUAGAACUGCACACAAGGUACUACAAUCUGGUUUUUAUUGGCCUAAUCUCUUCAAAGAUGCUCGUAAGUUUGUCUUAUCUUGUGAUGAAUGUCAAAGAAUACGUAACAUUAGUAGACGUCAAGAAAUGCCUAUGAAUUAUUCUCUUGUUAUUGAACCGUUUGAUGUUCGGGGCUUUGAUUAUAUGGGACCUUUUCUUGCCUCUAAUGGUUAUACACAUAUUUUAGUUGUUGUUGAUUACGUUACUAAGUGGGUAGAAGCUAUUCCAACUAGUAGUGUUGAUCAUAACACUUCUAUUAAAAUGCUUAAAGAAGUUAUUUUUCCGAGGUUUGGAGUCCCUAGAUAUCUUAUGACUGAUGGUGGUUCACAUUUCAUUCGUGGUGCUUUCCGUUAGAUGCUCGCUAAGUAUGAUGUCAAUCAUAGAAUAGCAUCUCCUUAUCAUCUGCAGUCUAGUGGUCAAGUAGAGUUGAGCAAUAGAGAGCUCAAAUUAAUUUUGCAAAAGACUGUGAAUAGAUCUAGAAUGAAUUGGUCCAAAAAACUUGAUGAUGCAUUAUGGGCCUAUAGAACUGCAUACAAAAAUCCUAUGGGUAUGUCUCCUUAUAAGAUGGUUUAUGGAAAAGCGUGUCAUUUACCUCUUGAACUUGAACAUAAAGCAUAUUGGGCUAUUAAAGAGAUCAAUUAUGACUUUAAGCAUGCUGGUGAGAAGAGGUUAUUCGAUAUUAGCUCACUUGAUGAAUGGAGAACCCAAGCCUAUGAGAAUGCCAAGCAUUUCAAAGAAAAAGUCAAACACUGGCAUGAUAAGAGGAUACAAAAGCGUGAGUUUAACGUAGGAGAUUAUGUGUUAUUAUUCAACUCUCGUUUAAGAUUUUUUGCAGGAAAACUUCUCUCAAAAUGGGAAGGUCCCUACGUUAUCGAGGAGGUCUAUCGUUCUGGUGCCAUAAAAAUCAACAACUUCGAAGGCACAAAUCCGAGGGUGGUAAACGGUCAAAGAAUUAAACAUUAUAUUUUAGGUAAUCCUAUCAAUGUUGAAACUAAUAUUAUUGAAACCGUACGUAACCCCUGAGGAAUACAUAAGGGACACUUUCCAGAACGUUCCAGACUCCGAAAAGGCAUAGGUAUGUGGUACGGUAAGUAAACCGACUCCAAAACAACUCCAAUGGCAAUUUUUAUAAGUUUUGGAAUAUUUAAGAAUUUUAGGAAGAAAGAAGUAGUCCGAAAGGGACACGGGGCUCCCACAAGAGUGGAGGGCGCGCCCCCUGUCUCGUGAGCACCUCGUGUGCCUCCCGGACUCCGUUUUCUUGCACGUUACGUAUUUUGGUCGGUAAAAAUUCAUUAUAUAUACUCCCGAAGGUUUUGACCACCGUAUCACACAAAUAUCCUCUGUUUUCGUUUCGAGUUGUUUCCGUUGCGGAUUUAGAGCGCCAUGGCUUCACCUUCCUCCAACAUGAAGACAAGGAUGCUUGACUUUUGAAGAUAGAGCUGAAAAGAGAAGAACCAGAAGAGAUCAACAAGGAUGAAGGGAUCAAGGAAGCCAUGGAGGUUGAAGCUCCGCCGGUGAAAGAAGAAGAUAUCCCUCAACCUUUACCUAACCUAUUUACUGCAAUAGAGAUUGAAGCUUUCAAGAUGAUUGAGUUAGCUCGCAUACAGAACAAGUAUCUCACACAUGAGAAUAUUCUGUUGAAGGAUCAUAUUGCUGGGCUUAAGGGCAUUAUCCGCAAGUUGGAGGAGCUUUUACGCUCAAUGUGCAAUUAUCCACCGUCAUCAUCACCACCUCCAUCACCUCCGAGGAAAUAAUCACAUGGGUAUGGGCACUCCCUUGGCAACUACCAAUCUUGGGGGAGGUGCCCCGGUAUCGUAUCACCAUCACACUCCUAUCUUUACUGCUUUAUUUAGUUUGAUCCUUUUAGUAGUAUCUUGAUCUAGUAGAUUGAAGUUUUGAUAUCAAGUAGUUUGAGUUUUUCUUUGUGAUCUCUUUUUGUAUUCGAGUCCGCGAGCUAUCUAUAAUAAAGAUUAGUGUUGAGUCAAGGGCUUUGCUAUGUGCUAUGAUCUUGAGGAAGUAGAAAGAAUUAAAGAGUUCUUAUUGAUCUUAUGGAUAGUGAUAACUUCACAUAUAGAAAGUAUGAGGCAUAAAAAUUGUUGAGAGUUGAUAAACGUAGUUUUGGUCAUCGUUGCAAUUAAUAGGAAGUGAUAAGGAAAGAGAGGUUCACAUAUAAAUAUACUAUCUUGGACAUCUUUUAUGAUUGUGAGCACUCAUUAAGUAUGACAUGCUAAAAGAGUUGACGUUGGACAAGGAAGACAACGUAAUGGUUUUUGUUUUCUCACAUCUCAGUUAAAGUAUAUUGUCAUUGAACUUCCAAACAUGUUGAGCUUGCCUUUCCCCCUCAUGCUAGCCAAAUUCCUAGUACCAAGUAGAGAUACUACUUGUGCUUCCAAAUACCCUUAAACCCAGUCUUGCUAUGAGAGUCCACAAUAUCUACCUAUGGAUUGAGUAAGAUCCUUCAAGUAAGUUGUCAUCGGUGCAAGCAAUAAAAAUUGCUCUCUAAUUAUGUAUGACUUAUUAGUGCGGAGAAAAUAAUCUUUGUACGAACUUGUUGUGGAAGUAAUAAAAGCGACGGACUGCAUAAUAAAAGUCCACACACAAGGGGCAAUAUAAAGUGACGUUCUUUUGCAUUAAGAUUUUAUGCAUCAACCCUAAACGCGCAUGACAACCUCUGCUUCCCUCUGCGAAGGGCCUAUCUUUUACUUUAUGUUUUUACUUUAUGCUUGAGUCAAGGUGAUGCUCACCUUUCCCUUUUUCAUUUUAUCCUUUGGCAAGCUUCUCGUGGUUUAAAGAUCGUGAUACAUAUAUCCAAUUGGAUGUUCGUUAGCAUGGGCUAUUAUUGUUGACAUCACCUAAAGGUGAAUACGUUGGGAGGCAACACAAUAAGCCCCUAUCUUUCUCAGUGUCCGGCUGAAACUCUAUAACCACAAGUAUUGCGUGAGUGUUACCAAUUGUAGAAGACUAUAUGAUAGUUGAGUAUGUGGACUCGCUGAAAAGCUCCAUUGUUGACUCUUUCUGAUGUUAUGAUAAAUUGUGAUUGCUUCAAUGACUGAGAUUAUAGUUUGUUAGUUCUCAAUGAAGUUUUUGAACCAUACUUGAAAUUGUGAAUUGAUUGUCACUUGAGCAUAAGAAAUUAUAUAUUGAAAUCUAUAUAUGUUGUUGUUAUUAGAAUGAUCAUGAUGCCCUCAUGUCCGUAUUUUAUUUUUAUCGACACCUCUAUCUCUAAACAUGUGGACAUAUUUUUCGAUUUCGGCUUCCGCUUGAGGACAAGCGAGGCCUAAUCUUGGGGAGUUGAUACCUCCAUUUUGCAUCAUGCUUUUAUAUCAAUAUUUAUCGCAUUAUGGGCUGUUAUUACACUUUAUAUCUCUUUACUUAUGGCUAUUCUCUCUUAUUUUACAAGGUUUACCAUGAAGAGGGGGAAUGCCGGUAGCUGGAAUUCUGGCUGGAAAAGGAGCAAACGUUGGGAACCUAUUCUGCAUAGCUCCAAAAGUCCUGAGACUCCAUGAAACAACUUUUUGGAAUUAUUAAGAAUUUCUUAGCGAAAGAAAUAGGCGAGGGGGCCCACACCCUGUCCAGGAGACAGGGGGCGCGCCCCCUAUCUCCUGGGCCCCCUGGUGGGCCUCCAGCGUCCAUCUUCUGCUAUAUCAUCACUUUUACCCUGGAAAAAAUUGUGGGCAAGCUUACGGGACGAAACUCCACCGCCACGAGGCGGAACCUUGGCGGAAUCAAUCUAGGGCUCUGGCGGAGCUGUUCUGCCGGGGACACUUCCGUCCGGGAGGGGGAAAUCAUCACCAACGUCAUCACCAACGAUCCUCUCAUCAAGAGGGGGGUCAAUCUCUAUCAACAUCUUCACCAGCACCAUCUCCUCUCAAAACCCUAGUUCAUCUCUUGUAUCCAAUCUUGUAUCAAAACAACAAAUUGGUACCUGUGGGUUGCUAGUAGUGUUGAUUACUCCUUGUAGUUGAUGCUAAUUGGUUUACUUGGUGGAAGAUCAUAUGUUCAGAUCCUUUAUGCAUAUCAUUACUCCUCUGAUUAUGAACAUGAAUAUGCUUUGUGAGUAGUUACGUUUGUUCCUGAGGACAUGGUUGAAGUAUUGCUAUUAGUAGUCAUGUGAAUUUGGUAUUCGUUCGAUAUUUUGAUGAGAUGUAUGUUGUCUUUUCCUCUAGUGGUGUUAUGUGAACGUCGACUACAUGACACUUCACCAUUAUUUGGGCCUAGAGGAAGGCAUGGAGAAGUAAUAAGUAGAUGAUGGGUUGCUAGAGUGACAAAAGUUUAAACCCUAGUUUAUGCGUUGCUUCGUUAGGGGCUGAUAUGGAUCCAUAUGUUUAAUGUUGUGGUUAGGUUUACCUUAAUACUUCUUUUGUAGUUGUGGACGCUUGCAAUAGGGGUUAAUCAUAAGUGGGAUGCUUGUCCAAGUUAGGGCAGUACCCAAGUUCCGGUCCACCCACAUAUCAAAUUAUCAAAGUACCGAACGCGAAUCAUAUGAACGUGAUGAAAACUAGCUUGACGAUAAUUCCCAAUGUGUCCUCGGGAGCUCCUUUCUCAUUAUUAGAAAUUGUCCAGGCUUAUCCUUUGCUUCAUAAAGGAUUGGGCCACCUUGCUGCACUUUAUUUACUUAUUGCUUGUUACUAUUUAUCUUAUCACAAAACUAUCUAUUACCUACAAUUUCAGUGCUUGCAGAGAAAACCUUACUGAAAACCGCUUAUCAUUUCCUUCUGCUCCUCGUUGGGUUCGACACUCUUACUUAUCGAAAGGACUACGAUAGAUCCCCGACACUUGUGGGUCAUCAUCAGCCGCAAGGUUAAGGGACAGAAUUUGAGCUUCAAGGAGGUCUUUCGAGCGAUGCUCCUCAUCUGCGUGGUUACGGGACCACCCUCUCAGAAAUUUCCGCAAAGUAUAGGAGCACGAGUGCCGAUCAUCUAGAGGACCAAAGGAGCGAGCAUUGGAGGAGAGAAGGAGGAUAAUCUUCGAGGCCAGCAUAUCACUGAAGCCAUCGAUCAGCAGCCAAGAAGCAUCAAAUUGGAAUCUAGCAGGAGGUCUAUGAAGUUGUGUCCCAUCGUCCAUAAGAAGAGGAGUAUGGUCCGAACCAACAAUACAUUUGGCGACGAGGGAGGCCCUGGGAAAUAACGAGUCCCACCUAGAGCAAAUAAAAACUCUAUCAAGAACCGACCUGAUCGGGUUAGCCUGGUGGUUAGACCAAGUGAAACAGGCUCGCCAGGGGCCACAAGAAGUUGUUAUUAUUUUUAUCAGAAGGGGAUCGAAGGAGGUUAAAGUCUCCGCCAAUAACCAUCGGUAAAUUGCAAGCCUCAAUCUUCUCAGAGAGCUCAUCCAGAAAUAGAGAAGAUAGCGAGUGAUCAGCUAGCCCAUAUACUACAAUGAACUCCCACAGCAAAUUAAGGGUUUUGUGGCAAACAACUGUGCUGGCCCAGAAGAUACCAUGAUCAAAGGCAACGAAAUCGAAAACAUCUUUUUUGGAGCCUAUGAGGAUCCCCCCCGAAUGGCCCGACGCAGGUAACAGAUGCCAAUAAAAUCUAUCCAUACCCGCAAUAGACGACAAUUCAUUAGGAGAGAAAGAUGCUUUGAAAGUUUCCACCAUCCCUAUCAAAUCAAUAUUAUUCGCACGAACCAAGUCUUUAAUUUGGUCCCGGCGCCCCCUAGCACUGAAACCCCUAAUGUUCCAGAAUAGGGCCCUCAUUUAUAGGAUAGAUUUUUAAUGCGGAGGCUAGACCUGCUAGGAACCAUGCAGGGUUUAGAUCGUUUAGAAGGGCCCUUUUUGGAGUUGUUAGGCUGGGGUUGGCCACUACCAACCUCCAACCCCUCACCCUGAGCCCGGGUUCCUACAGAAGCAGCAGCCGAAGAGGCAACGGCCUCUUUAGCUUUAGCAAUAGCCGCCUGGGCCAACUCGUUAGCCCGAAUAGUAGAGAGAAGAGCAGCAGGAGAGCAAACUUCGGGAUCUACAAACACUCCCACAUCUGACAUAAUAUUUAACAAGAAAUCAUCAGAUAAAGACGGUAGGACUAGCCGAGACAGGGAAGAAGGGGGGCAAGGGCCAUGGAGGUUACCUGAAGGGGGGAGAUCCUUAGCAGCAGCCCGCCUCUCUGUCCGCUCCAUGAUGGAACCACCCGCAUCAGCAACCCGCCUACCCUUGCGAGUCGUGGACGCGGGCGACCGAAUCGCUGAAGAACGGGCCAUGGGAGAAGCCGGGAUGGGGCCGGAGCGGGACAUCGAGCCGAGGUCCUUGUCGAGGCGGCGACAGACACCAGUCAUGGACUGCUUGGAGCCCGAGGAGUUUCUGCUCUUAGCCGGAAACUUGAGCACAAAAGAUAUCUUCUUUCUCUUAGACUGGGCUCCCACCUCAUCACGAACAGGAGAGACAGGCAGGUCCUCAAUCCCGGAGCGAGUGGGAGAGAUCGGGCGAAUAGGGAGGUUGGAGCAGGCACCGGAGGUGGGAGUGGCCGAAAUCGGCUGGAUCUUCAGAAGCAUAUCAUCAGAAGGAGGAAUCAGGAGGUUAGACUCGGGGAUCGCCGCCGGCUCACGAGGAGCCGUAGCAGCAGGGGCCUGGGAUUAAAACAGCUCACGCUCCGACUCAGCCAGCCCAUCCCAUUCAGAUUGGGUAAACCUCAGGUUGGAGCCAUCACUUGGAUUUUGACCACCAGCAGAUCCAGCACCCUCCUUGUCAUGCUUGUCGGAGGGGUUGGACGGGGGAGGAGGAGGAGGAGGUGGGGGUUGGAAAGCGGCCGCCCCUUCCACCCGAACCCGGAGUCUGACACCACUUGGAGAAGGGAAGACAUCAAUCGCUCCAUGAACACACAACGGAUCCACGCACCAGAUCUUAAUCCGAGCAGGGCCAACCUUGUCCAAAGACUCAAGAUCCACCUCCACAGGAUUCCCGAUCAGCACACCAAACGCCAUGAGAAACGCAGACGAGCGAAGCCCCGCUGGCAGAUCAUCCACCAACACCCAAACCUGAGACAAAGGGCCAACCGUCCUUCCACUGCAAGAGGCCGGCUUGACAGACACCACCAGCUGGUUGAGGGGGAGGGUAAAGCUCGUGCACGAAGCAAUCAUCCGCAGGCAGUCUUUGGAGGGGAAAACAACAGAGGACUCAAAGUCCGAAAUCUGAUUAACUUGCCAAUCCCAUCCCUCGACAUCCCAAAUCCGAAGCCCUUCCAGCAGAGUUUGAGGUGAGAUCUUUUGGUCUUUCACAGUAACAAUAGCAGCAUUAGAGAGGGAGGGCGCCGCCGUCAGGAUAGGAAGGUCACUGUCCAGGGCAAAGAAAGCACAUCCCGGGAGCCCCAAACCAAACUGGAUGACCGAUGUUGGUUUCAGGCGAUUCAUGCAGUUGACAGUAAGAUGCCCAUAAGAGCGGCAUAUGAGGCAGAACAAAGGGUUGGUACAUCUAGACUGAAAGUGCCCGGGCCUGUGGCAAGCGAAUCAGGUGAGCGCAGACGGAUUGCUAGGGGUGGAAGAAGGGGGACGGAUCUGCGGGAGGGAGGCGGGAGGUGGCAGGAGACCGUCCCCCACCCCCGACGAGGGAAAGGCACCAGGGAACGGACCAACCGGCGGACGCGCCGGCCCCGCAAAGGAUUGCGGCGGAGGACGAAGCCCCACACCCGCACCGGCCGGGCGAGGGGGAGGGGGGAUCCGAGCCGAAGCAGAUGCACCACGCCCCGCGCCAAGGGCCGGCAGAGAACCGGAGGAGGAGGAGGAGAUCCCCCACCAGCCGCUGCCGCCGCCUCCCAGGGAUCCACCGUUGGAGAGAGGGAGGCCCCAGAUCCGGACCCUUGCGGGCCAGAUCCAGACGCACGCUCCCGCUCCGAACGCUGGAGCCAAUCCGGGCCAGCAACCCAAGCCACGCGGUCGCGAGCCACCCGCUCACGAGCCGCCUGCUCCGCCUCCAACUUCGAGCGGAGCGAGGCCUCAAGCUCCAGAUCCGCAGCAGAACCCGACGAGUCCUCCCGCCGGCGCUUACUACCAGACACCGCCUCGCAGGACGAGCCCCGUGACUUAUCCGUGGAGAGCACAGAAGCGAAGGCGAGGAGGAGGGGAGGGGGAGGGCUAGAUCUGACGAGGCGGCGGAUGGGGAGCCGGUGGUGACGCAAAUCUGCAGCGGAAGCCGGAAACCCUAAUAGAGGGAGGAAGCACCACGGGUGACCCAUAUAUACCCGGACCGCGUCAUGCCCUCCAGGGCCCGACGGGCCAAGCAGGCCGAGGGGAGAGGGGGGGCAAAGCAGAAAGGGGCCGCACUGGGUCCACAGGGGGAGGGGGAAAUCGACACCAGAUGCCAGAUGGGGGUGGGCCGACAGGACACACCACAGCCGGGCGGCCCAACAGGCCCAACAGACGGGUCAGCCCGCGAGCCAAAGGUCAACGAAGAGGAGGCCAGAUCUAGGGCAAGCAGAGCCAGCGCCGCGGCCCGGCCUGGCGACGCCGCCGCCGGCGCCGGGGAGACCGAACCAGGCGCAGAGGAGGGGGAGAGGGGGCACGCCACACCCGGAGCGGCACCCAAAAUCCCAGGAGAAUGCGAACAGCGGGAGGCCUUACCAGAUUUUUGACGCUGACGAGACACCCGAAACCAGCCAUCAUCCGAAGGCAGCGACGACACCGGCCGACCCCGGCCCCCAGGAGCGAACUUGCGAAGGCGAGGAGCGGCGGCAAGGGGCGAGGCCCGCCCCGGGAGACACGGCGAAGGGCGGGGAGACGAAGCCUCGUCCGACGAGCCCUCCCCAUCGAGAUCGAGAGCCCAAAAGCGGGAGCCCAGCGAAGACGACGAAGGCACCGGAGAGCGCCCCUCAACCGAGCGAGCGGGAGAGGAACAACCAGACACAGGGGGGACGGGAGAGUCAGGGCCCAAAUUGGUGCCGGAGGGGCAGAGGGCGAUGGCGGAGGAGCCGGGGGAAGGAAGAGGCGGCGCAGGGAGAGAGGGAGCGAGAGGAGAGAACAGAGCCAUCCUCUGGGUCAACAUAUGGGCACCCUAUACUAUGUCAUCUUUCAGAUCAUCCUAUUUAAGAAGAUGAAUAUCUUCCAUGUCAACAGCUUUUCUAGCUGCACAAAAUUUAUUAAAAGAAAAAACUUUAAAACGCAUGCCUUCGUCUUAGCAAUUGGAUGGGUCCUUGCAUUUGCAUGUUCACCUUUGUCGUUUUUUUAUAGUUGCAUCAAACAACUCUGGUGAACUAUUUUGGAAAAAUGAGUUUCACGUCUCCAAGAUUUUAUUCGAAAAUAUCCAAAUACGCAAACUGGGAUCAACAAGGUUCAGUUUUCUCCAUUCAUUUUCUCCUUGCAAAAUCUUUUAUUAGUCACUAGCACAAAUGCCCGUGCGUUGCAACGGGAGAAAUUUUUAGAAUCCCGCUCUCAACGGACCCACAUGUCAUCUCCAACCUUUUCCCACAUCCUGUGAAGUUUUAUUUCAAAAGGCGAGGUGAUACUAAUUACUAAAGGAACCCUUCAUCUAACACAAUCAUCAUCUAGACCCGUUGGUUAGUUGUUAUGUCGUUCAGAGGCGAGGUGGGCUUUUGGUUCAUCUGGACUUUUUGUUCAAAUCUUGGAGGCCGAGUGCAACAGCCGCUACAAUAUGGAAUAGUCCCACCUCGUUGAACCGGCCAAAUUAACUGGAGAAAACAUACGAACUAAAAUAAUACGAUCAAAGCGGGACGAAACAUUACGUUGCUUUAUUAUAGUAUAUAGGUAUGUGUGUUGCUACGGGAGAAAACAAAAACUUGGUUAUGUCAAUAAAACAUACGGACGAAAGUAAUACGAUCAAAGCAUGACGAAACCAAGAAUAUUACCUUUUUUAUUAGUAGGUAGGUAUAUGUGUUGCAGCGGGAGGAAACAAAAAGUUGGUUAUGUCAAUAAAACAUUCUUAUGAACAUGUAAUCUAUAAAAUUUUCUGGUGAAUAAAAAUAUAAGAAAAGAGAAACUUAUCAAUUAUGUAUAUGCAGAAAAACGAUAUAUGGCCUGGAUAUGAUAAUUUAGAUUUCAAUCAGUACCCAAUUAAAAGGAGGGUAAAUUGCAAAAAGUUCACCUCUGUCAGCUCGCAAAGUUCAGCGAACCGAGAGUUUUGCCCACACCAUUCUCAUUGGGGCUAAUUUGAACAAACAUCAAAGUUUGGAGUCUCCACCUGCAGUGCCUUGUGCAUUAAUUCCAGCCAAUCAUUUGUUCCAUCCACGUACACAUAUGUAUCAACCAGCACCAUGCGCCAUUGUCGGAAGAAACUAAUUAAACAGAAGGGUUAGCUUGGAGACAUGGUUAAACUGCAAUUAUCUUAGUUGCAGGCAGCAUACAGAAAUAUGGGCGCCAAAGAAUAGCUCUCAUCUUGGCAGUCCUCGUGCUUGUAAUCUGUUGGGAACUAUUAAAAAGCAUGUGAACACACCAGGGAAACAUCAAAGCAGGUUAUUUCAUAUUUUUAUUCUGCGUACCUGAUCUACUGAUCAUCAUCACGCCAUGUAACUUGGUUCCAAUAUGAGUUCAGGUGAGGACACCUCCAUUAGCCCGAAGAUAAAGACAGCCAAAGCAAUUAACAUAGAAAGCUUGUAUCUGGUAGCCAAGCGAGACCUGCAGGAGCAUCGAGGUGCAUGGAUUGAUCAAGAAGUUAGGGGCGUGUUGACGUCGGCGGCGUUGGGGCCAUAUGCCUGAGUACCUCUCCGACUUACUUUACAAUGCAAUUCUUCGCCGGCUGGUGCUUAUGGCCCAGAGAAAUCAACAUGUACAAGCUAGCCUAGCUAAGCUAACACGCUGGUGGAUGGAUUCUUCAGAGGAUAACUACGUACAAGCAGACACUGGUGGAUGGAUCGAUCCCAUUGUACGCUACCAGGCUAGAGCUAGCCGAUGGCUUCUCGCCCGAUGGAAACAAACAGACCAAGUCUCGCUGAGACACGCACGCGACCCACGGAAUUAUGGCAACUGCUGUCGGCGUGCUAUGCCUACAAGGAAGUGUGCAUGUUGUAAUCGAAAGCGGCGAAGCAGGCCUUCAAGCCCGAGGGUCAGCGUCGAGGAAGACAAUGCGGUGAUUUAGGCUGCAAAUUUAGCUGCCGCAAAAUCCUUUCUCCGAUGAUUUUAAUUAGUGCUUUAUACUGGAUAUAGACAUCACAAAGUCAGAACAUGCCUUUUUAGAGAUGAACCAUAUAAUAAUAUAUUACACUAAAAGAUUGAUAUGCACGCAAGGAUUGUUUAAAGGGAAACGAUUGGGGCCGGCGCACCGGCCGAACCACUCGGCCGGUCGCGCGCGACCUGUGCGAUCCCCUUUUCAUCGGCCCACAAAUUGCUCGCCAUUAACGCCCCACGCGGCUGCGCUGCUUCCUCUCUCUCUAUUUCAUCUCGCCGGUCUCUAUCUCAGUUGGCCGUCGCCGUUCGCCGCCCCCGCCGGCCGUCCUCAUCGCCGGUGGCCACCCGCGCCGGCCGUCCCCGUCGCCGUUCGCCGUCCUCGCUCGCCGGCCCCGGCGGAAGCUGGAACCGCGUCGUGGCCUGCUGCAACCCGUGCCCAGGAGAGCUGCCAUCAUGGAUGGCGAGCAUGGUGAACGGCGAGCUGCGAGGACGGCGGCGCUCGCGUUGCAGACAUGGCGGAGGCAUUGCAGAACCUGCCGCACGCCCUCAUGCUACAACCGUUUAACCAAAAUGCUUCAAACCAAGAUGAAAAAAGCUUCAACCAGAUACAUCAAAAGCUGCAAGCAGUCAUUGCCAUGGCGGAGUGCUACAACCGUCGACAUAAAAUGCUACAACCCUUGAUGAAAAAGCUUCAACCCGAAACGAUAGAGAAAGCAUUAACCAAGGCUGCUACAAAGAAAAAAGCUGCAACCAUUUGAUAGAAAAGCUUCGACCGUAGAUGAAAAAAGCUUCAACCAGAUACAUCAAAAGCUGCAAGCAGUCAUUGCCAUGGCGGAGUGCUACAACCGUCGACAUAAAAUGCUACAACCCUUGAUAAAAAAGCUUCAACCCGAAACGAUAGAGAAAGCAUUAACCAAGGCUGUUUACAAGAAAAAAGCUGCAACCAUUUGAUAGAAAAGCUUCGACCCUAGAUGAAAAAAGCUACAACCAUUGAAAAAGAAAGCUACAAACAUACACUGCAUAACCAGAAAAGUUGCAUCCGUUGUAGAGAAAGCUUCAAUCAUAUGUGCGAAAUGCUUCAACCUGCGCGUGUCGCCACCGAGCCGCAAUCACAGUGGUUGGCUGGCGGCCGUCGCCGACGCAAUUUCCUGCAGCCAUGAGCAUCAACGGCGAGGGGCGGCAGCGGAGCUAUAACCGGGGAGAGCUAUAAGCGUCGCCGCUGCAAGCUGCAACCAGAAGAUGAUAGUUGGAAGCGGCGAUGGGGACGGGGCGGCGAGGGUUGGAAGCGGCGACGGGGACGGGCGGCGAGGGUUGGAAGCGGCGGCGGAGACGGGCGGCGAGGGUGUGGACGGGCGGCGGGGAUAGAAGACGCGGCGCGGCGCAGCCCAAGCGAGGGGAUCGUGCCGAGGAAGAAGAAGCUGGGGGCGAGUUUUUUUUUUGCUCCAGAUCCAACCGCGCACGCCUCGCAUCGAACGGCUAGGGCUGGACCGGCCGAACGUUUCGGCCGGUGCGCCGGCGCCUAGCAUCGCCCUUGUUUAAAGCUUUAUCACUUUAUGAAGGAUUGUUUAAAAGCUUUAUCACUGUAAGAUGCAACGCUAGCUUUUUAGUUCCUCACUGAUACCUUCCAUUGAACCAGAGCAUUUGCAGCAGGUUGUAGCCAACAAGCUCGUUUUCUUCCCCUGUAUCUAUCUUCCGAUCUGAUCAACAUCUGACUUGAUUAUUCACUGGGUCACCUCUCUGUUUGUAGUUUAUAUUGACCAAGCAAAGGGCAUAUUAGAUGCCAUUCACGGAGCUUCAAAGUGAAGGUAGGGCCAGCGGUUGAUGGGGAGAGAGAGCGCACAAGCUGUAGGUGCCCCAGCCCCUCAACGGGGCCGCAAGGAUCAAGGAUCGAGCCGCUGCUGCACCCCUGUUGCCGGUGAAGGAGGUAGUACGAGCACAUGGCCGCACGCUGCUGCUGGAUCUUGCCUCCAUGGAUCAGAAGAGAUAGUAGGCACAGACGACCCUGAGCCAUGACCAAUACUCCAAUAGCACCCAUCAUGGCUCGGGACGACGACCACCCUCAUUGGUCCUGUACCCGAGAGCGACACACGCGGGGCCGCGGGCGGACAAAUCUUCAUCUAGUCCGUCGCUUGACCUCAGCGGCACCUCUCAUGAACCUACCUCGCCAGAAUCCUCGGCGACCACGCCUCGACGACGACGGGUUAGAUCGAGGGAUCAACUUUGUUUUAUAGUAGCGGUUUUCUUUUCUUUAGAAAAAUAGUUGUGGUUUCCUUUUUAGGAGAAUACGGGUGGUUUCCUAGUUGUAUAGGAUACCGACGCUAUGACUUUCAACUCAGCACGUUACAUGGUGUGAUGGUAAGCCAUGUAUUCUAUAUUCUGUAUAGGUCUCGCGUUCGACUCCCCAAGUUUCACUCCUCGUGUUUUCUCGGCCCAUAAGCGAAGCUAGCGUUCGCGUGACCCAGUGCUGCAGCCGUUCGACGGGAACUUGCGGCCCAUAAUUCGCGUGCUAGCAGCCGUUCGGUGAACUUGCGGCCCAUAAUUCGCGUGGUCCAGUGCUAGCGAUGGACAAAAUUUAGUACCACCUCGAAUAUGUUUUAAAUUUAAACUGAAAGCGUAAAAUCACGGGAAGAAAGCGUAUUGUGACGGUGAAUCCGACAAACUCAAUCCGUGCUUUAUUUAUUAUUAUUAUUAUUAUUAUUAUUAUUAUUAUUAUUAUUAUUAUUAUUAUUAGGGAGAGAUAUCGAACAAAGCUAGUUACCAGCACAAGAUAAGAUUCAAAACAAAAGACAACUUGGUGCCAAAUUGGCAGCUACCCUUCUACCCAAUGGAUAGUCAGAGCGCCCAGCACAAAGUGGCCAUUCGAGAAGCACGGUCCUAUCCCUACCAGGUUGUUGUCGUGCUCCAUGUCGUUCGUCUUGUCGAUAUGGCCAUCCCUAGUGGUGAGUCUAACAAGAGGUGUGUAUGCUGUUGGAGGAGCCCCCGGUGCAGUCUGAAGGCACAUAUGCUAGUGGGUGAUUCGUCCUCUGUCCACUAAUACCCUGGAUAAAUUAUUUGAUAAACAUUGCCUUUUGUGUCCCACAACAUCAGUUGGAUGGAUGCGAUCUCCAUUUUUACAAUUUGUGACUGGACACAAACUCACGGCUUACAUACGACCUUUCUUUGAGAUAAUUUCACGCAUUGUACAUGGCUAAGAUAUAAAAAUUAUUUUUAGUAAUGUCUUCUCUUGUGUCAAUAUCUGGGUGCCUUAAUUAAGUGUUGAACAUGUAUUGGUGUUGGUGGUAUUUCUAUUGUUCUUAACUCUAUUAUCAAAUCAGAACAGAGCAUUUAAUUGGUAACUUAACUUCAAUGAAACUUAUUAUAAUAUAUAUCUUACCCUUUAAGUUAAAUUAUCGAUGUGUCAAGACUUACGUGUUGGUGCAGAGGCCGGGUGUAAUUGGUAUCUUCGUGAUAUUAAUAUAUUCCCUUUAUCGAAAAAAAAUCUCUAUAGGUCAAAAAUCAAGGGCAUAUGUAACUGCUAUGUUUUUUUAAUGGUCCGGUUUAGGCGGGCUUCAUUGAUUUAGGAGAAAGCAAGCGGGAAACAAUGGGGAUCAAGUGAUCAAGGGCACGAAAAACACGUGCUAAAAGAAGAGAAAAAUUAAAAAUGGAGGAGGAGAGGGGAGUGAUUAAUUAUCUAGCAACAUCUUCCUCAAAAGGGCGCUCAAGACAAGUUGCACCCGCCAGCCUCCAUUGCUCAAGAUCAUUGUUUAUGGCUCACAGGACGUUACUGACCCUUGGCAGCUUUGAUGUGAAGAUGUAGGCAUUCCUCGCUUUUCAAAUUUCCCAGGAAAUCAACAUUAGCAUUGAUUUGAACCCCCUUUUGAACCUUCAGGGAGUCAAGCUGAUCAUCCUUUGGCAGUGUUUGAGGGAGUAGUGGUGUGCCUCCCGCCGUUGCUUCAUGGUCGUGUAGCCAACCCAGGUCGAGGCCUUCUGCUAGAUUGACGAAGAGAAGGGGCAGUCCCACAGAAGGUGCCUCGAGGACUCCGGGCUUCUCACGCAAAGGGGGCAGAAAUAGCCAUUUGGCCACCCACGCCGUUGCAGUCGACCAUUACACCACAACCUAUCGUGGUGCAACAGCCAAGCGAACUUCUUGGCACUACCGGGGGCCCAGGCCUUCCAGAUGACUGCGUUGUGGCUCGAGGAUGGGGCGGACUGAAAUUGUAGUCCAUAACCAAUGCUUGUUGAAUAAGAGUCUCCACCACCGGCCACCCAUUAGAUUUGAUCCAUUGUUGAAAAGAUUUGGGUAGGUGCUGCAUAGCGGCGCCGAUCCCAGCCAUGAACUCUUCGAGAAGCUUGCCAAUCAGCUGCUGCCAAUGUUGACUGUCGUGGCCUUCGUGAACAACUCCUGGUCACGUUGAUCACAUAGCAGAGGAAAAUCCAUCCACGGCGUUUGCGGCUGCUGCCAAGUGAGCCAUACCCAGCGUAAUCGGAGGGCGGUACUGAAGCGCUGCAGAUCCAGGAUAUCGAGUCCUCCCUUGGCAAUCGGCGAGCAAACUUUACUCCAAGACGACUUUGCAUUUGCCACGAGACACCACUUCAUCCUGGGUCCAGAGAAACCGCCGCCGCGCCUUGUCAACCCCUUUUAAAAUUUUCUUAGGCACCUUGAGCACUGUUAGAGCAAACGUGAGGAGAGCAGUGAGCACUUCCCGCACGAGCACCCUAUGGCCGGCUAGGCUCAUCAGUUUUCCCUUCCAUCCUUCCAGGAGCGAUCUAACUCUUUCGAUGAUGAACUAGAAAUGCACCAUGCGCAAUCUAUUUAGCGAGAUCGGCAGCACUAGGUAUGUUGUGCGAAAAUCUGCUAUCUAACCAUCGAACUCCUGUAGCACUUCCGACAACGGCAAGCCCGCGCAGUUUAUAAGUAUCACCGAUGGUUUUACUUGGUUUAGCUUGAGCCCCGUUGCAUGGAACGCUGCUCCACCGCAGAUGUCGUCCAUUGGUCCCUCAAGCGUAUGCAUACCUCCAAGAAUGAUGCCCCCAAGAGGGAUACGGCACAAGAGCACCACCGUCAUCCGAUCGACCGGUCUAGAGUUUUCGCCGAAGGUGGCGGAUACGGGUCUAGAGCUUCUCCACGACAAGAGUUGUUUUACGGUACCCUCAAACAAAUAUAAGCCGUCCAUUUGUUCUGAUCUGAUAGAUAGGAUUGUUUGACACUCCAGUAUAUAGAUGCCUUGGGGUACUACCGUUAAAAGUUGGGGAGUACCACCACUUUGAGGGUAAUUUGGUAAUCUACGACUAGAUCAUUAAUUCUCCACUAUUUAAGGGAUAAAACCAACCUGCAGGCGGCGAUUAAGCUGGCGACCGAACCUUGAUUCACGGGAUGCAUAGAGAAGGACCUCUUCAUCACAUCCCAAAAACAAAAUCAAUAGAUCAGAUCUCAAAAGAGAUAAAACGUGAUGGAACUAUUAAUAAUUACGUGAUUUUGGAAUUGGAAACCUGAACUGAUUGCUUGACAACACUAGGAACAUAGGUGCAUGCAAUGCGUAGAUCCAGCGAUGGGCCGGGUCGCCGGCGGCUAAGUUGCCAAAACUUCAUGCAUGUGCGUGAGGGCCUGGGGACGGCUCCACCGGGAGGAUGCGGCAAGCCGGCAACCUCAUAGUGCACGAUCAGAGGCGGCGGGCGUGCGCUUCAUCGGAUGAGUUUUUUUUAGCUGAUCGGAUUAGGAAAUUAGAUCACGGGAAUAUCUCAAUAUUAUACCUAAAUCAAGGAAACAAAAAGUCUAAAGUGCCCUCUCAAAUCAACGGUCAGAUUUUGUUGGUACUCCCAUCUCUAUCUAUGGAGUACCAGGGUGCUGUAAAAAACCUCAUGCGUAUAGGCAAGGAAAAAAGAAAAAAGAAUCCAAAGAAACCGAUCUGGAUCAACAAACUAUAACAAUGACCAUAUCUGGACCGACCAUCUUAUGACACCACACGAACAAUGAGGUUCUUCAAUAGCAACGCUUCAGGAAGGGAGCAACACUCGAAUGCCACCGUCACCGGAUCAAGCCACCUAAGGCUAAAUCUAAGGUUUUCACCCAGAAGAAUCAGUCCGAGCAUUCCGGACAAUGCCUUCAACAAGGUAAUGAAGUAAAAACAUCUCCAUUGCCAGGUGUACCCAACUCGGGCCAGACUUAGGCUUUCACCCUGAAACUCAAGACCGGGUGCUCAAGUAUAACCUAUCAAAGUCAUUCAUGUGUUGUCGCCACCACUUUUUCACAAUCCUAGCAGCUACAUGCGGUGUGACCACCGCCGCCGCACAACCAUCCCUCUGCAUGAAGACUUUGUCCAUAGUUUGCAUCUCGCCGCCGAAGUCAACUACCGGAUCUUUGAAGAUGAACUCUCAGAAAAUCUUUUGAUGGUGACCAUGAUCCACAGCGAGGCAGCCGUUGUCCUGGAUCCAAUUCCCGGUGACCCAAUCAGAAGCGAGAAAGCAGAUCUGCCAACUCCACCUAGCCGUGAAGACCCGGCCAUGCCGCUGCCCGCCAAGACCUAGGUGACCAAGCAGCCAUGACCAUGUCCAUGUGGUGCAACUAGCCGGCAGCCUGGACGGCCGUCGAGCAUCUACACGCAUGUGCACCUCUGAAGCAGCCGUGUGGAUGCAUCCAGGAACCAGCCCUGCACGUACUCUAGGCCAUGGACUUCAUCCAGAUCGGAAGGCCGGAAUCACCAAGUAGGUACCAGAUCGGGAAGCCUGCGGCCAGAUCGGAAGGCGACCACCAAGGGGAAGAACGGAAAGAGGUCGGAGAUGCCCCGCCGCCGCCGCCGCCCACCGGGCGGCUAGCCUCCUCUAGCGGCGGCGUGGUGAACGGCGCUGCGCGGGAGGGCCUCCGAAGGUGGCCGAGGCGGCGCCUUCGGAAUCGGCUGAAGCGACCCGGGAGGCGGGGGAGGGCCUCCGAAGGUGUUUUCUCUAUGUGUUCGGGUACGGGGAUAAAGAUGACCUGAUUAGAUUCUAAUCGGUUUAGAUUUUAGAGUUCUAUUCGUAUACGUCAAGUACUGCCUUGUAUACAUCAAAGUCCAGUUAUAUAUAAAGCCAUGGCCGAUUAAAAAAACAAUCGAUCUACUUCAAUAUAAAUACAUUACUUUUUAUCGUUCGUUUCUUUCUGUAGUUUCUUCCUGCUGAGCCCUAGGAGCCCAAGGGUUUGGUGAUCUUUGCAGUUUUGCACUGACAAACGGUUUGUUUUCCUUCACGAAAGCGAGGGAUUUUUUAUUGCUUUGCCCGAAAAGCAAUUGUUCGUCGUCACGAAAGCAUGACAAAUAUCAUGGUGUUGUGCUGCGAUUUUACGUGCCAACACACUUGACGAAUCCGCUGGGGACGAAGAAGAAUGACAUACACACGAUGGACACCGAACCCAAGAACGGAAGCGACUUCAACCGGGACAACACCAUCGCCGUCACGCUCGACGAUUUGUCAGAGGAUGAUCGGCGCGAGCUUGAACAAGAGGUUGAGAAGGAGAUGGCUGAGCGGCUAGAACUGAAGUUGACUGGAUACUACAAGACAAGGAUCGGCAUCGUCAAGAAGGUACAUGUGUCGAACCCUUCUGAUUCGAUCAACACCGAAGUAAAAUAGUCUACUUAAAAAUUUCUCAUCUAAUUGAUGUGUGUGUAGCUAAUAAGUACGAUUCUGAUGUGAAAGCUAUGACACACACAAGUACUCAAUCGUAGCUAAUAGAAUUGAAGAAUUUAAGGGGCGACUCAUCUUGAAAAUAAUUUACUUGGUCAUGUCCGUUCGUUAGUGCUGCAAAACGAUGAGUAUCCUGAGUAAAGGCCGAUGGAGAAUAGUGGCUUCAUUAACUUUCCUAGUAAUAUUCAUACAGCUGAUGCAUCGGCUAAUAACGUUGUGCAGCCCCAUGUCCCUUUAAGUAGCUAUCAAGGUGGCCAGAACUAUGUGAGCAGUUCAGCUAAUAAUUUUAUGCCUAGCAUAGCUGCUCCUAUUGUCUCAACUUCAGUUCGACAAAAUCACAACAGCAAUAAUGGAAGUGCUAGUUCUAAUUCUAGCUUGCACCAACCUAUUUAUUAGGAAAUAGCUAUAAUAUACCACUCCUACUGUCUAUCGGUACCGGCAUUCUGUACGGGCCGGUAACCAAUUCAUAUUUUAGUGGGUCUUCCUUGCAAGAAUCACAUGCUCAAAUUUCUUUGUCAGGGUUUUAACCACGUGCUAGCACUCCAUCUGCUUCACAAACUAGUUCUCUACAGCUGAAUGAUAGUUUUAAGGAUAAGCUUGAUAAUAUACUUAGAGAAUAGGUUUAUAACCUAAGGGUAAAGCAUGUGCAUAUAAAAAAACCAUACCCUAAUUACUUUGAUUUGAUGGCAUAUCCUCGUGGUUUUACUAUUCUAGAUUUUUUUUAGGUUUAAAGGGUAAGAUGGUAGAUCCACUUUCGAGCAUGUCAGACAAUUUUUAGCCCAAUGUUGUGAUAUCGGCCCAUCAGAUGUUUAUAGGAUAAAUUAUUUUUGUUGCCUUUGUCCGGUACUGCAUUUACUUGGUUUACAUCGCCUACUCCUAAUUCUAUUGCAACAUGGGCGCAACUGGAGCAAAACUUUCAUGAAUAUUUUUAUUGUGGUGAAACUGAACUUCAACUUUCAGAUUUAACUAUGGUUAGGCAAAAAUAUAAUGAGCAUGUUUAUGAUUAUAUUAAGCGGUUUAGAGAUGUCAAAAAACCAAUAUUUUAGCUUGACCAUAGCCGAAAAGGAUUUAGCCGAUCUUGCCUUUUCGGGCCUGCUUGCUCAUAUUAAGGAUAAAUUAGAAGGAUACAAAUUUUUAGAUGUUGAUCAAGUUUUGCAAAAAGCUUUGGCGCUGGAAAACUGGACUAAGGAGAAUAAACAAUAUAGCCGUUUUAAACAUUGUUUGACACAAAAAAGGAAAAAGACAUCGCUCAUAAAAAGAAUAGGGGGUUUCGUAUGAGCGUCUCCCUUUGCGCCGAGGAACAAAAAGUUGCGGGCGUGCCAGUGUACAAAGUACACAAAUACAAGAAGAAGAAAAUGUGUGGGGCCUGCUGGCGCGGCCAAAGUGAUCAAGCGAUCAUGGUCUCCUGGUUCCCGGGGGCCUCGGAAAGCCCCCGGUUAAUUACUCCCGCGGAUAGUACCGCGGGACACCUCAGCUACGCAGUCAUCGUCUUCAAUCUUCGCUUCGCGCAUUCCUCAUGCAUGGUGGUGGUAUGUGUAUGGCGGCGGCAAAGUCCAUGUACUGAGUGGUACACGCGCCGUCGAAAAUGUGGCCUUUGCUCCGGCCACGCCCGCCAACGUCGUCUUGCCUCGUCGGCCUUGAGCGGCGUCAAUGUGGUUUGUUGAAGUAGCAUGCAUGUUUGGGCUUGGCUUGGACGUCGUUGAUGACAUUGUAGAUUCGCCGGGAGUGCGAGGGGUAUGCCCCGCAGGAGUAGAUGUCGAAAGGAGAAGGAGUGGCUGGACAUGCGACACAUGGUGUGCACACAUCCAUCGAUGACCGCAUACACCGCCGCCAACGGCGGAGGAAGUCGCCACCUUGCACCGCUAGGCACGGCCGGCGAUGGCACAAGAGCUGCACGCCGCCGACACGGAGUGCCGGACCGGGAGCCGCUAGACAUGAGCGGACCCCGACACGUGUGACACGUGUUCGUGCUGUCGAAGAGGGAGGCCGUAAGAUACAACUAAGCGUGUCCCGACCGAAACCGGAUGAUGUCUCCGCCGCCAUAGUUACGACGAGUCAUCGUGACUCGUCAAGAGCCACGCCGCCUCCAUGGUUACGACAAGUCGUCGUGACUCAUCGAGGGCCGCACCGCCACCGAUGCGUCGAGCCAACAACGUCGCCGAGUCCCGGCCAGCCCAUGGCGCCUCCAUGGACCGGCGAGACAGCGGUGCAGGAGACCUCGCGAUGCGGUGGAGCCUCGCCCAGGCGCCGCCGAUGGUGUAGGUAGAAGGGGUGGCGCACUUGAUGGCGCCGAGUCGAACGAUGCGUGUCGACGAGUUCCGACCAGCCCAUGGCGCCUCCAUGAACCGGUGAGACGGGGCGAGUACGACCUCGCGAUGCGGCGGUGUCUCGCCUUGGCGCCGCCGAUGGUGUAAGUAGAAGGAGGUGCGCCGAGUCAAACGAUGCGAGUCGACGAGUCCCGACCAGCCCAUGGUGCCUCCAUGGACUGGUGAAGAGGGGCGAGUACGACCUCGCGAUGCGGCGGUGCCUCGCCUUGGCGCCACCGCCGGUGUAAGUAGAAGGGGUGGCACACUAGAUGGCGUGAGUCGACCAAUGCCACUACAAGAAUCCUGUUAAUCCAUGACGGCUACAAUCCGUCACAGGCAUGUGCAAAACUGUCACCGAAGCGCAGCGAUGAUGGAUUUGAAAUAUGUCAUGUAUAUCGCGUCAUAAUUGAUGAUUGUACACUCCGUGACGGAUUUUGUCCGUCGUGAAUUGCACCUAACUGAAGUGCUUAUAACGACGUUAACUUGUAUGCCACAUCAUCUGCUGACAUGGAAUUACGUGGCAGCCCAUUAACUUAGUGGCCCAGUUGGAAUUUAAGCCCACUAAACUUUAGCUCUGUCUAAGAAUCAAUGGCCCAAUUAAAAUUUCAGCCCACUAAAUUUCAGGUCCAUCUAAGACUCAAUGGCCCAGUUAAAAUUUCAGCCCACUAAAUUUCAGCUCUGUUAGGAUACACGGCCCAUGUAGUAAUCAACCGAAUUGGAAAUUCAUUUCAUUAAAUUUCAAGGUCAGUCCAAGGCCCACUGAUGUCAAGCCGAGAGAUUAGCCCAUCUCACAAAAAAACAAUAGCCAAUAUUUAUUUUCCAAAAAAAUAUGGUACAGUAUAAUAAACGAUAAACACAUGACAACACAACACUUUAUUAUUAUACAAAUGAAAGAAAGACAACAACACUUUACAGAUCAGGUAAAAAAACGGUUUACAGAUAACUCCGAAUAAUAUUGUAGCAUAUAUCCCAGAUAUUCAAUCUACAACAUGUCCCAGAUAUUCUGGGGCGGAGCCUUCAAAAAAGAUAUUCUCCAGUGGAGAACAGCGCCGACGUCAGAGACGCCAUAUCUACCACCAUAUUGACCCUACCCAUGCUCCUGAGUAGCCGAUCUCCAGCGACGAGAACAUGCAAUAGUUGUUGCCUGCACGUAUACAACCAAAUACUAUCUAAAAAAUUCUGAAAUAAAAACCCGCAAAAAAUCAGAAAUAAAACACAGUGAACUCGAAACGGUGAGGCAACCGACUGACAUCCCGCUGGGUCGAGGCCUCGAGGGACAAGCUGGGGGUGAGGACGCCGUCUGCGACGGACGCCAUUGAAGAAGGGACGACAGCAUCCCAGCACAACGGAGCCGCCUCAGCCAGGCGCCUGUAGAGUGCCGACUCGAUGCGGCUCGCUUGGUGCCUCAGCGCGGCAGCAUCGGACAGAGAUGGGCGGCCUGAACCGUGGCUGUGUUGCUGCCUUCCUAACCUGCACAUGACGAGAGGUGAGAUUAGUGAAAGAAUCCGGCGAUUAAGAGCAUGCGGCUGGGCGGGUUGCCGCUCAUGUACCGAUUGCGAUUGGGACAUAUCCUGCCAUAUCGAGCACGCAUCCAGAACAACGCUUACCAGCGACAGCUGCCUCUGCCGCGGCUCAACGAACCAUCUCGCUAGCGCCAUAUCCUGCCGUCCGCCGCCGCUCGGACAGUGGAGUCAUCGCUUCCCUUCGCGUUCGGUGGCAACGCCCACCACGACGCAGCUCCCCGGGGACGAGUCGGUGCGGCCCCCCGAAAUCCAGGCGCACACCACCGCACGGUGUGGGUCGGCCUGGACGUCGCGGCGUCGAUACUUGCCCCAGUGUGGACUCGGAGCCGAGAGAAGCAGCUAGGAGGGGACGGAAGGCAGCGACUGGAGAAGGAGAUGGAGAAAGGAAGGCACUGGAUGCCGGCGGCUGUGGGGUGGGGAAGUAAGAAGAGAUGGAUCGGUAAUUAGGGAUUGUGUGCCAACCAUUGGAUCUCAGGAAAUCGAACGGUGGAGAAGCUUGAUCCAUGUGCGGGUAGGCUCAGCCAAUCAAAACGCACGGUUUGCCUCACGCAGGAUCGCCCCCCUCAGCCGAGAACCAUAUGGGCUUUUGCUGAUUCCAGCCCAGUGUGAGUGAGGCCGCCCAGAUUUCGAACUUUUUAUAUUAUUCAAAUAACUAAUAAAGCCACCUUUGUCUCAAAACAAAAACCUUUGUCAAGUAACUUGCAAACAAUUAUCUUAUAUAUCCCAAUAUAAAAAAUACAUGUGAUAUAAAAAAUGUUAUUUCAAAAAAUCAAGAACCCCAAGUUUGUGCUCGAUACUUGCCAUGUCGAUCCUUGGAAUUUCUUUCCGUUCCUUUGAUAGGGCCUAAACAUAGAGUGAGGAAGAAAAAUAUGAUUUUUAAACCCUUUUUCAUAUUUUAAAGUAAUUGUAAAUAGGAUAUACUCCCUCCGUCCGAAAAAAGCUUGUCCCUCAAAUGUAUCUACAUCCAUUUGAGGGACUCUACAUCCUUUUGAGGGACAAGCUUUUUCGAACGGAUGUACUACCUAUCAAAUGCUUAGAAAAUGAAGUAAAUGACUUUGAAAUAGCAAAUGAACCCUGGAAAAUGCGAAAAGUUAGCAUAUGAUAUGUGAUGGUGCAUGUUAGGUGUCCAAAAAGUUUCAAGGCCAAAGGAUUAAGCAAAUAUCACUUCUCCUUCAAACCCAACGCAUUAUCUCUGGAGAUCAUGAUUCCUCCUUGUAGAUUGUUCGACUUCAAAGGAGUGCGCAUGAUUUUGUUGUGAAAUAUUUUCAAUUAAUUUACCAAAAAAUCUAGAUGCCAUAUCAUGACACCAUGCGAGAUUCCAUAUUUUUCAAACUUUGUUCGCAUUUUUCCUAAAUUUAAACUACUUUUCUUGCUAUCAUGUGUUCUUUAAGUUCGUUUAUGAAUUUCACUUGAAUAUAGCAAAUGAGCUAUAAAAUGCGAAUUUUUUACAUGUUAUGUUUAGUGGUGUAUGUUGAGUAUAAAAAACGUUUCACGACCAACUGAUGAAGCAGUGGUCACUUCGCCCCUAAAUCCGCCUUAUUCCUUCUGAAAAGCUAGAUUUUUUUCUCAAAGAUGGCUCUGUUUCUAAACAAUCAACGUGAAAAGUUGUGCGAAACAUUCUAAUUUUUUAACCACGGCCUCUAGGGGCAUAUAAUGACACCAUGACAAGUUUUGUAUUUUUCUAGCUUUGUUUGAAUUUGUUAGAAUCAAAUAAGCACUAAGCACUAUGUUGCUGCUCGAGUCCUCGCCCCAUCUUGUUUGGAACUAAUUCUAUUUCCUUACAUAUGGCAUAAUCCUACAGUAAAGACCACCAGUAAGAUCUUUCAACCCAUUUCUGAAAACUAUUUCAUGUGUUUUCAACUUAAAUUUCAAUUGUAUCCAUUAAAUUCCUAGAUAUGCACUUAAUGACUUAAAUAUAUCAAAAAGGUCUUAAAAUGCCAAAAAAAUGACAUGGUACGUUUAGUGUUGUAUGUUGAGCGUUGAAAGAGUUUCAAGGCCAAUUAAUGAAGCAGGUUUCAAGGUUGACAUUUAUUUUUCUGUUAAAUAUUUUCCCAUUCAAAUAAUAAAUGUAAGAAAAAAAAAUAUUUUUUCCAUGAAGUGUAAGGAAAGUGUUUGUGCAUUUGAAAAUAUGUUCAUAAUGCUUUUGAAAAAUACAGUUCCUGAAUUAUUUAUUAGUACACAAUUUUUUAAUACAGAUUUUCAAUUGUUCCAUAAUUUUUUUUUAGAAAAAUACAAUGAAUAUAAACAAUAGGUAUGCGCGCACGUGUGUGCACGUGUGGUCUUCAAUGAAUGUAUGUAUUGUUUUUAAAAGUUCAUGUUUACCUCUUAUUUUCUAAAAGCACAUUGAACAUUAUUGAAAAUACAUACAGUUAAUGAAUUAAAUAAAGCUGACGAACCCCCAAAAAUGCCAAAUGUUGACAUAGAACACGUGGUGAUAUACGUUGAGCGUGGAACGAAUUCAAGGUCAAACGAUCAAUAACCGACACUUUGCUUUCAAACCAGAGCCGUUCCUUCUCAAAAUCACAAUUCUUUCUCAGAAAUGUUUCGGCUUCCAAGCAAUGUACAUCACAUAUUUUGCGAGUAAAAUCACUCUUGCAUUUCAAGAAACAUGUUGAUAUUUUAUACAAGUUAAGCUAUAUUAGUACAUUUCAAGAAUUCAUUAUUAAUGUUCUAAUAUAAGUUUUAAUACACAUUGUCAAAUUUUUUAAUAUUUGUGUAUUUUAAAAAUUACAAUGCAUAUACAUAAUAAUUGUGUGUGCUUGUGGUCGAAAUGAAUAUACAUCUUUUUUAUACAUAAUAAUUGUGGGUGCUGUGUAAGGCGAGCUAUGCUGUCAGUUAACUCGAUCUACAAAAGGCGAAACUAGCCAACAGAACUAGUGAGCUCAACUGAUUGAUUCACGGCGCGAAACUUUAAGUACUGAACUUCCUUUGAAAAUAUCGAAUACAAUACAUUGAACAUUUUGUAAAUAUCCGUUGAACAAUUUCUUAAUAUAAAAUGGAUAAUUUAAAUUAUACACAAUGAACAUUUUUUAAUAUAUGAUGAACAUUUUGGAAAAAGCAUAAAUAUAUGUGUUGAACAAUUUUCGAAAAUGCAUUGAACAUUUGUAAUAUACGUUGAACAACUUUUGAAUACACAUUGAACAUUUGUGUAAUAUAACACUGAACACAAUUUCAAAAACAUAGGGAAUACUUUAUAUUCAUUAAACAUUUCUAAAUAUAUGAUGAAUAUUUUAUAAUGCAUGAUGAACUUUUCGUAAUACACCAUGAACAUUUCCUAAAUGUAAAAUCAACAUUUUGGUAACACGCAAUGAAAUUUGUAAAAAUAGGGAAAAAAGAAACAGUAAAAAGAGUAAAUAAAUCAUUAAAACGGAAAAAUAAUAUAAAAAAGAAAUAGAAACAUAAAAGAAAAAUAAAAACGAAAAUAAAAAAGAACCAGAAAAGAAAAACCGAAAAGAAAAAAAAAGCGAACAAAAAAACUGAAGCAGCAACGCGCAGCACCCCAACUGGGCCGGCCCACCCGCGGGCGCUGCGGGCGUUUCCUCGACGAUUUGCCGCUCGCGAGCGGCAAAUAGGAAUUGCCCAUGCUGACCUGCCACCUGGUUGUGGGGUGUAGCGGAAGCAUAGGCACGGCCGUGUAAUUAUCUCGGUCCAACCGCUGCUCCCAUGCGCUAUUUUUUUACGUAUGAGUGCAAUAUACACUACUCCCAUGGGGAGUAUAUCUUAUAAAUUUUGUACCAUACGAACAGUAGGAGUACAACUUAUUACAUAUAGAAGUGAGGAGACCCUCGUCCGUGUAAUUUUGUUGGUCUGGCCCCUGCCCCAUGCGCUAUUUUUUAUCUUAUAUAAAUUUUGUAUUGUAUGAAUACUACUACAUUUUGCUAAAACAAAUGAAUAAUAUUACGGGAGCGGCGUUUUAGGUGAACAGUACCCCCCAAAAAUGAGUAAAUAUUUUUUAAAAUUUUUGAAAAAAAUUGGAGAGCAGCGGUGUCGUAAGCAUGCUUGACAAUUUUCAUGUGGAACAGAGCAGCGGUGUUUCGUCAAUGAAAAAAAUUGGGGUUGUCAUUUUAUGGUGACAUUUUGUCUUUGGUUUUUUUUUUGCGCAUGCAAAAAUGCUUAAACUUUUUGCCUCAAAAUUUACAGGUGGCAUUUGUGGGAUGUCUCAAUUUUUUUGACAUUUGGAAAAGAUGGCCAAUCAAAUUUCCCUAAUAUUACUACAUAUAGAAGUGAAAAUGUCCAAAUCGUAUUAAAUUUGGGCAUUUAACCUACUGGCAAAUAUUUUGCCUAGAGCGCGAGGGUUUCCUGGGUUCGAGUCUCGUGCCUUAAUUUCUGUACAUAUAUUCCUUUUUAAGGUUUUUUUAUAUAUACACUAUUGACUACAUCUGACUAACAUGUGGGCCAAACAAGGAGGACGCAUGACACAUCAACACCAUCCAUCUGUGAUGGUCUGAAUGGCAUGUAAGGAAAGAAAGGCCGGCCAAGCCGAUCGAUCUAUGACGUCUUUGGUGACAGUCCCUCUUUGUCCGUCAUAAUGGGGUUACCGAUUGGGGGAGGGGGGGCAUCCUCGUGAUGCAGAUCCGUGACGAUUUCUAUGACGGACAAAGAGAAACUGUCAUCAUCGGUGACGGUUUUCAGGAACGUCAUCAGAAAUCUGUCAUGGAUUAACAAGUUUUUUGUAGUGUGCGUGUCGACGAAUCCCGACCAGCCCAUGGCGCCUCCAUGAACCGGUAAGACGGGGCGAAUACAACCUUGCGAUGUGGCGGUGCCUCGCCUUGGCGCCGCCGAUGGUGUAAGUAGAAGGAGGUGCGCUGAGUCGAACGAUGCGUGCCGUCGAGUCCCGGCAAAACGAGGUUGCCGGCGGACUCGACAAUGGAGAGUGCACCGGGGACCCUGCAUGGAUAGCGGCCCUGAUAUGUCGCCUUCUUGCAUAGAGGAUGUGACGGGGGUUGCGGAUGGCCGGCAACCGCGGCACGUCGUUGCUGUCCUCGUGGGAGUUGUCGCCACCGGGGCUACACAUGAACGGCAACCCCAGCAUGGCGCCGGGGGUUGCGCGCGAGCGGUAGCACCAACACGUUGCUGGAAGAGUCGUGGACAACCAUGGCGCCAUCGUCUUCUUCACCGGCAAGCGAUAAAGCAGGCGGCCGGCUCCAUCUCCGGCCGUGCAGCCGCAGCUCUGGCGGCCACCAUGGAGAUGUGCUGAUAGAGGAAGGGAGAGAGAUUAGUUCAGAGCUCAUCUUGAGAGAAGAUGAUCGGCAUGGCGUCGAUCUUCGUCAGCGGCUCCGGUGUGCCUCACCCGGCCGGCUACGUACAGGGGUCUCGGCCGCCUGCGCGAGUACUCCCGUAUGGUGGCUGCGUGCGUCGGGAGCAGUCUGGGGUUCCUCCUCCUCUGCAGAUGAGUGCGUGGUGGAUGGAGAUGAGAGAUGGCUGGCGGAUGGAUGUAUGCGUGGGUUGGUGGAUGUGUGUGCCGUGGAUGGCCGGCUUCUCUUGGCGGCUCCCGUGGGUGCUCCCUGCCUGCGUGCUUCGUGCCUCCGUCCCUCCAUGUGAGCCUCCCUCUCCACUAUUUAUAGGAGGAGGUCGAUCUCCUGGCGGCUGCGUGACGAGCCAAAUCUUCCGAUCUUUCUGCUGCUGGAUUGAUUCAAAUCCUUUGCCGAUGCUUAUCCUUCGGCUGCUCAUCUUGACGUACACGUCUGCACAGAAAAGUGUUAGACUAUGUAUAGCUUCUGUAUUUAUGUACGUAUUGUAACACAACCAUUAUAUAUAAUGAGAUAAGCCACCCCUAGAGGGUUGUGCUGGUUCCCCAAAACUUAUUGUCUUACAUGGUAUCACGCUAGGUUACGAUCGCUUCCGCUUCUAAACCCUAAUACCCGCACCGCCGCCGCAACCGCCGCCGCCUUCACCGCAGCCGCCGCGCCACCCAUCGCGCCGCCGCCAUGUCGAGCGCCGACACCACCGGUUCCACUGCUGCGGGCUUCCUCCCGGCCUCUCUUGCGGCUCUGCUCAACCUCCCGCUCGAUGCCGUCUCCGUUCCGGCUCCGAUCGGGACAAGGAGCAUCGGCUCCGUCUUCUCCACGCCGCCGGCGCCCUCGCUUGGGCGUGACCUCGUAGUCCACACCGCGGCGCCGCCGUCCGCUGCGGACUCCGCAGGCGUCGUCCCGCCGCUCCUGCCGCAAGCGGAUCACACCGCCCCGCUGGCGGGGUUGGCGGCGUCCGNNNNNNNNNNNNNNNNNNNNNNNNNNNNNNNNNNNNNNNNNNNNNNNNNNNNNNNNNNNNNNNNNNNNNNNNNNNNNNNNNNNNNNNNNNNNNNNNNNNNNNNNNNNNNNNNNNNNNNNNNNNNNNNNNNNNNNNNNNNNNNNNNNNNNNNNNNNNNNNNNNNNNNNNNNNNNNNNNNNNNNNNNNNNNNNNNNNNNNNNNNNNNNNNNNNNNNNNNNNNNNNNNNNNNNNNNNNNNNNNNNNNNNNNNNNNNNNNNNNNNNNNNNNNNNNNNNNNNNNNNNNNNNNNNNNNNNNNNNNNNNNNNNNNNNNNNNNNNNNNNNNNNNNNNGCCGGCGCCCUCGCUUGGGCGUGACCUCGUAGUCCACACCGCGGCGCCGCCGUCCGCUGCGGACUCCGCAGGCGUCGUCCCGCCGCUCCUGCCGCAAGCGGAUCACACCGCCCCGCUGGCGGGGAUGGCGGCGUCCGCCCCGGCCGCCAGCCUUGCGGCGUCCGAACCGGCCGCGAGCUUUGCGGCGCCCGCCCUGGCUGCGGUCCCGCCUCCUCCCGCAUCAGCUUCGGUGCCUCUGGCUGCCUCCAUGGUGUUUGCACCCCAGGCAGCCUCCUCGAUGGGAUCGUCUUCGCCGCCGCCGUUUCACUUCGGUCAUCUCAUCACCAUCAAGCUCUCCGCUGACAACUACAUCUUCUGGCGUGCGCAGGUUCUCCCGCUCUUGGGGAGUCACUACCUGCUAGGCUACGUCGACGGAUCGCUUCCCUGCCCACCCGCGUUGGUAGACAGCGUGCACGGUCCGGUCUACAAUCCGGCCCAUCGCGUCUGGACGGGGCAGGACCAGGCGAACCUCUCCUCCAUCCAGGGGUCGCUCUCACCGGCAGUUACCGGCCUUGUUGUCUUCGCGAAGACGUCUCAUGAGGCCUGGACCAUCCUUGAGCGCACCUUUGCAGCGCAGUCCCAGGCUCGUGUCUCUGCACUCCGUCGUCAGCUUGGAGAGUGUCAGAAGCUUGACUCCACUGCCACUGAGUUCUACAACAAGGUCAAGGGCCUCGCCGACACAUUGGCCUCCAUUGGACAGCCCCUCACCGACUCCGAGUUCAACUCGUUUAUUGUCAAUGGUCUUGAUGAGGAGUAUGAUGCCUUAGUCGAGAUCAUCAACGAGCGGGGCAACUCGACACCCAUGCUGGCACACGAGGUUUUCUCUCGGCUCCUUCUCACUGAGCAACGGGUCGAGACUCGCCGCACCAGGGGCACUGGCUCCCUCUCGGCCAACGCCGCCACCAAGGGUGACCGCUCUUCUUCAUCACCCCGGUCUCCCUUGGGGCUGCCACCGUCGCCCGCCUCGGCCCCCCCACCUACUGCGACCUUACCGGGGGCUGGCGGUCCACGUGUGUGUCAGCUUUGUGGCCGCGAUGGGCACUGGGCCUCCAAGUGUCAUAAGCGCUUCCAGCGAAGCUUUCUUGGUCUUGGCAAUGACGGCAAAGAUACACGCAACAAUGCCCGUCAGGUCGCCAUGGCUGAUCGUCCCGCGCCGCAGAAGCAACAGGGACACACUCAGUCCUACUCCAUCGAUCCACACUGGUACAUGGACUCUGGGGCGACAGAGCAUCUGACCAGCGAGAUGGGGAAGCUUCACACUCGUGAACCCUAUCAUGGCUCCGACAAGAUCCACACCGCCAAUGGAGCAGGUAUGCACAUCUCUCAUAUUGGUCAAGCAUCUCUUCUCACUAGACAUGCCAAUAGAAAUCUUCAGCUUCGCAAUGUUCUUCGAGUUCCAUCUGUGACCCGUAAUCUUCUUUCAGUUCCUAAACUCACACGUGAUAAUAAUGUGCUUUGUGAAUUUCACCCUUUUGAUCUUUUUAUUAAGGAUCGGGGCACGAGGGACAUUCUUCUUAGUGGGCGGUUGUGCCAGGGCCUCUACCGUCUGGAGCAUCCUGGCGUCGCUCGCGUUUUCAGUGGAGUUCGGGUCUCUCCGUCACAGUGGCAUGCUCGUCUUGGUCACCCGGCCACACCUAUUGUCCGUCAUAUUUUGCGUCGUCAUGAGCUUCCUAGUUUGUCUAGUAAUAAAGAUGUAGCAGUGUGUGAUGCUUGUCAGCAGGGGAAGAGUCAUCAACUUCCUUUUUCGGAGUCCAGUCGUGAGGUGAAACAUCCUUUAGAACUUGUGUUUUCAGAUGUAUGGGGUCCUACUCAGACUUCUGUUAGUGGUCAUAAUUACUAUAUCAGUUUCGUUGAUGCUUAUAGUCGCUUUACCUGGCUUUACCUUAUUAAACGCAAAUCUGAUGUGUUUGAUAUUUUUGUUCAGUUUCAAAAACAUGUUGAACGUCUUCUCAAGCACAAAAUUGUUCAUGUCCAGUCGGAUUGGGGGGGGGGCGAGUAUCGCAACCUCAACUCUUUCUUUCAGUCGCUUGGGAUAGCUCAUCGUUUAGCAUGUCCACAUACACAUCAACAGAAUGGUUCAGUCGAACGUAAGCAUCGUCAUAUUGUUGAAGCUGGUCUUACUCUUUUGGCCCAUGCAUCUGUUCCGUUUCGGUUUUGGAGUGAUGCUUUCACCACUGCAUGCUUUCUCAUCAACCGUACUCCUACUCGUGUUUUAAACAUGAAGACUCCCAUUGAGGUUCUCCUUAAUGAACAACCUGAUUAUACCUUUCUCAAGGUAUUUGGGUGUGCUUGCUGGCCGCAUCUUCGUCCAUAUAACAAGCGCAAGCUUGAGUUUCGUUCUAAGAAGUGUGUUUUUCUUGGCUAUAGCUCUCUUCAUAAAGGUUACAAAUGUCUUCAUGUUCCCACUAAUCGUGUCUAUAUAUCUCGGGACGUCGUGUUUGAUGAGCAUGUUUUUCCCUUUGCCAACCUUCCUGUGUCUACUGUCGAACCACCAUCCCUGCAUUCAUCCUCUGUUGCUUCUGACCAAUUUGAUGAUGUUGCAUACUCUCCUUUGCUGUUACCUAACCAUGGUGCAGGAACCGGACGUGGAGCUCGUUUGGAGCUGUUGGAGGAUUCACCAUCAUCAUCGUCGUCUUCUGGUGGGCACGUCGAUCGCCCUAUGUUGCAUGGCGUCGAUUCGCGUGCUCAUGCAUGGUCACCCGACGAGCCCGUCGCGCCGAGCAUCUCCACUGCUCGGUCCGCUACGCCAGCGAUCGCCGAGUUUCCAGCGUCUCGGCCUUUUUCGCCAGCGGCCGCCGAGUCGCCCGCGGCUCGACCCGUCACGCCGUCUUCGCCUGCGGCUCGGCCCGUCACGUCGUCUUCGCCCGCGGCUCGGGUCCUCAUGUCGCCUUCCUCCGCGGAUCGGCCCGCGACACCGGCCGCGCCACGGCCCACUAUGCCGAGCUCGCCAACGGCCCGGUCUGUGAUGCCGGAGUCGCCAGCUGCUUCGUCUGCUCUGCCGGUUUCGCCGGUGGGCCGGCCUUCUUCGUCGACCGAGUCCGAGGCUACCGUGACUGGCUCCUCGUCACCGGCUGACUCGUCAACGUCGCCGUCCUCCAGCCCGUUGCAGGCUGCUCCGUCGACCUCGGUGGUUCCUGUAUCCCGACCACAUACACGCAGUCGCAGUGGCAUUUUCAAACCUAAGGAACGUAAGGAUGGUACGGUUGCUUGGUUGGCUGCUUGUUUGGUUGCUGCUGUUGCGGAUCCAUCUUCUGAGCCUCGCUCAUAUCAGGCUGCCCUGCGCAUUCCACAUUGGCGAGAGGCUAUGGAGCAGGAGUUUCAUGCUCUUCUUCGUAACAAGACAUGGACUCUCGUUCCUCCACCACCACGGGUAAAUGUUAUUGACUCAAAAUGGGUAUUCAAAGUGAAGAAGCAUUCGGAUGGAUCUAUUGAGCGUUACAAAGCGUGACUUGUUGCUCGCGGUUUUCGGCAGCGUCAUGGUCUUGACUAUGAGGACACCUUCAGUCCUGUCGUCAAGCCUACCACUAUUCGGCUUCUUCUCUCCAUUGUUGUUUCUCGUGGUUGGUCACUUCGUCAACUUGAUGUGCAGAAUGCUUUUCUACAUGGAUUUUUGGAGGAAGAGGUUUAUAUGAAACAGCCGCCUGGUUUCUCUGAUCCUGAUCGUCCUGACUAUAUCUGUCGUCUUUCCAAAGCACUAUAUGGUUUGAAGCAAGCUCCUCGUGCCUGGCAUGCCCGCCUUGCCUCUGCCCUUUGUGCUCAUGGGUUUGUGCCGUCCACUGCUGACACUUCAUUAUUUCUUCUACAGAAGCCAGAAGUCACUAUGUACCUUUUGGUAUAUGUCGAUGAUAUUAUCCUUGUCAGCUCUUCUCAGUAUGCUGCUAAUGCUCUUGUCUGCUCUCUUGGUGCUGAUUUUGCGGUCAAAGAUCUUGGGAAGCUUCACUAUUUUCUUGGAGUUGAGGUCACUUCUCGUGCUACUGAUCUUGUCCUUACGCAGAAGAAGUACUCCUUGGAGUUGUUACAAAGAGCUGGCAUGCUGAAGUGCAAACCGACCACCACACCCAUGUCGUCUACCGACAAGAUAACAGCUGUUAAUGGUGAGCUUUUGUCUCCUGCGGAUGCCACAGAGUACAGGAGCAUUGUUGGUGGACUUCAGUACUUGACGAUCACGAGACCAGAUAUCUCUUAUGCUGUUAACAGGGUUUGUCAGUAUCUUCAGGCUCCCAGAGAUACUCAUUGGGCUGCUGUUAAACGCAUUCUUCGUUAUGUUCAGUUCACCCUGACAUUUGGUAUGCAUAUUCGGCCGACUUCCUCUCGGGUCCUUUCGGCCUUCUCUGAUGCAGAUUGGGCUGGUAGCCCAGAUGACAGGCGAUCCACGAGGGGUUAUGCAGUAUUCUUUGGCUCUAAUUUGAUCGCCUGGAGUGCUCGGAAACAGGCUACUGUGUCACGUAGUAGUACUGAAGCUGAGUACAAGGCUGUGGCUAAUGCUACUGCAGAGAUUAUUUGGGUGCAGUCUUUGCUUCAGGAGUUGGGUUUGUCUCAACCACAACCUCCUAUUCUUUGGUGUGAUAACAUCGGUGCUACAUACCUUUCUGCAAAUCCAGUAUUUCAUGCCCGAACGAAACACAUUGAAGUUGACUAUCACUUUGUACGGGAACGUGUAUCACAGAAGCAACUCCAGAUCAAGUUUAUCUCAUCUAAGGAUCAACUUGCAGACAUCUUCACUAAGCCUUUACCGCUGCCACAGUUUGAGGCUUGUAGGCGCAAUCUUACCCUUCUCAGUUCUUUAGAAAGUGGCUAAGAUUGAGGGAGGGUGUUAGACUAUGUAUAGCUUAUGUACUUAUGUACGUAUUGUAACACAACCAUUAUAUAUAAUGAGAUAAGCCACCCCUAGAGGGUUGUGCUGGUUCCCCAAAACUUAUUGUCUUACAAAAAGAAAACAUACGUAAUACGUACCUAGUUGUUCAUCGCAGGUGGACCAGUUCCUUUUCGAACGUGCUGAGUCUCCAGGCACCUGAGCUUGGCUAGGUACAUGGGUAUUCAGACACGUAUAGACGCGUGGCCGGCCGGUACAUACAUAUUAGGGUACGUGCUCGCCCAUCCGACCGGUGCAAGUAUUUGGAUACAUGAAGGCGUUUUCCCCUGCCCUAGCCGCCGCCACAACCAGGCGACUAGGGAGGCGAAUCUUCUUCCACCGAUCUCCACCUGCCAGGACGUUGGUCCCCUUUCCCUCCGGCUGCUGCUUCGGCAGCAGGAGGGAGGGGGGACCCCGUUCCUUUGCUCUGUAGUUAGGGUUUGGUUUUGUAGGUCGUGGCGCGUCGUUGGGGUGGUGAAAGCGACGCCCGGGCGAAUAAAUCUGUCUCAACUCCACUCCCACACUGGCGGUGCUCAUCAUGGCGGUGUCUCGGAGUUGAAGGCAUCGUGUGUUUGCCGAUCCUUCAGAUCGGCGGUGUUAGGGUUCAUGAAUGGUGUCGGUGAGGCGGCGGCGGCGACUCCAUCAUGUGUGUCUCUCCUUCUGCUAUGUCCCCGUUGCUGCGGCGUUGUCUCCGACGUCAUGGUGGAGCAGGGAGGUUUUGUUGUCCAGGAGUACGCGCAGACGGUUGUCUACGCAAGUGACAGCUGGAAGAUGGUGCAUCUUGUGCUGAGUCUGUGGUUGAAGGCUGACAGUUCUGAUUUCCUCCUCCGACGUCAUAGUCGUGUGAGGGUGUCAGUUCUGGAGUUCGAUGGCGUGUCCAGGGACAUGUUGCCCUGGUCUGAUUCUUUCAACAGCAAUGGUUUUGCUUCAAGCAAGCUACUUUGGAGGUCUGUAAAGCUGCUGAUCAGCGAUGGAGCCGCGUCGACACUAGUAGAAAACGGAGCUUUAAAACCGGUUUGUAAGGGCCUUUAGUGCCGGUUAUGAAACCAGCACUAAAGUGUGGGCACUAAAGGCCCCCCCCUUUAGUACCGGUUCGGCACGAACCGGCGCUAAAGUGCCACCACGUGGCGUGAGCUCGCACCCUAGUAUGGGGGACCUUUAGUACCGGUUGGUGUUACCAACUGGUACUAAAGUUUUUUUUGAAUUUUUUUUUGAAAAUUUUGGAUUUUUUUUUGAUUUUUUUUAUCUUUAAUUUUUCUGAAUUAUUUGAUGAUUUAGUCUCUAAUCACCUCUCUUAACUGCUCAAGUGUGGAUCACUCAUUCCAAAUCAUCUAACUUCCUGACCGGUCACCCAUCCCUCUCACUACUCCAGCCCAAGCACGCUUAACUUUCGGGUUCUAUUCUCCUUCGUUUCCGAGUCUGCACUUGUUGUUUUCCUGACAAUAGUAAGAUGUCAAUCCUAUUAACCCUUAGGAGUUUAGCUUGAGCAUGAAGUCACACAUUUCACCGUUUGAGUUUGAAACUAUUAUUCUAAAAAAACAGUAAUUAUUUAGUAACGCUAAUAUUUCUUGAAUAAGUUUGACCGUAGUUUGACCAUAGUUUGACCAAAAUUCAAAAAAUUGAAAUAAUUAUUUAGUAACACUAAUAUUCUUGAAUAAUUAUGUAGUAACAUUAAUACUUCUUGAAUAAGUAGUUUGACCAAAUUUAACCAAUUUUUUUUAAAAAAAACUGAAAUUUGACCAUAUCUUUUUUUCCUUUUCGAAUUUGAGGAUUCUAAAAAAUUCCAAACAGGCCGUAGGCGGUCUCCAUCGGAUGCGGAUUUUCGUGCUGAAUUUUUUGAUAUAUUAUACGUUUUUUUUCCGACAUCGUAUGCAAAAGUUAUAGCCGUUUUACAUUUUUCCCUACACUUUUUGCAAAACAUGUCCAAAUUUAAGUUUUCAAAUUUUCCUAACUAGUAGAUAUAGUAAUAUAACUACCUCUCGAAGGAUUUCAUUUUUUGAAGUUUUUAUCAUUUUCUUUUGAUUUUUUUCAAAANNNNNNNNNNNNNNNNNNNNNNNNNNNNNNNNNNNNNNNNNNNNNNNNNNNNNNNNNNNNNNNNNNNNNNNNNNNNNNNNNNNNNNNNNNNNNNNNNNNNNNNNNNNNNNNNNNNNNNNNNNNNNNNNNNNNNNNNNNNNNNNNNNNNNNNNNNNNNNNNNNNNNNNNNNNNNNNNNNNNNNNNNNNNNNNNNNNNNNNNNNNNNNNNNNNNNNNNNNNNNNNNNNNNNNNNNNNNNNNNNNNGAACCGGUACUAUAGGUUAGACCUUUAGUACCGGUUGGUAACACAAACCGGUACUAAAGGGGCUCGUGGGGACCCGGCCUGACGCCAGCCUGCCACUACCCCUUUAGUACCGGUUCGUGGCACGAACCGGUACUAAAGGCUCAACACGAACCGGUACUAUUGAUCGCAGCCACGAACCGGCACUAUUGAUCACAUUAGUGCCGGUUUUUUUACAAACCGGCACUAAUGUGCUUCACAUUUGACCCUUUUUCUACUAGUGCGAGCUCGGGUGAAGAGGUGAUCUGUCUCCUUUUUCUUAGUGGAGAGGGGCAGACGUUGGUUUUUUGCAUAGGAUUAUCCUAUCUUUACGGUCCUGUAAUGUCGAUGUUUACGUGGCUUGUAACUGAAUCUUUAUUUUAUUAAUGAGACACGUAUUAUCAUGCAAAAAAAUAUUUGGAUACAUGCAUACCACGGUACACACACAUGGCCACGAUCAUGCAUGUCAUCAUUCGAUGCCAUGGAUGGGUACGUGAAGGAGCACCUACAUGCAUGAAUCAAUGUCUAGCUAAUGCACUAGUACACAUCUGUAUCUUUGGCAUUGCCCUUUUUUUCUUUAAUUAUUUUAGAAUGCCAACAAAUAUUUUUUGACAUAGCUCGUACAAAACCGCUUCAAACAAAUGCCCCCUCACCAAGUCGUGUUCGAAUGCGAAGCAAAUCGGACGCGUCACUUGGUGAAGGAAUUUUCUGUGGGCCAACAAGCGCAAUUUAUUUUUGCUGCCUUCAAAUGUUUUUUUAUAGCACUUGUGAGUCGCAUGUGCUUGUGAGAGAAAACACCUCUGUGGCUAUUAGCGAGUAAAUUCGCCAACGCCACAAGUAGAAAAGGAAAAAAAAUGGAGGUGCUUUACUGUAGCACGAUUGUUGCCGUGCUGCCUGGCAAUAAAGUAACCUCGAAUCCUCCUCAACUUGCGGCGAAAUACCAUGCCAGGCAAUGAAUGUUUUAUUAGUCAAGUCGCGACCGGUUAGCUGCAUGGUGCUAGCCGACAGGAUUGACGGGUUUCACAGCUUCGUACUGGCCGCACUGGCCAACGCUGAAGCCAAGAGUGGUUGAGGUACCUUGUUGGGUCGUAUUGCUGCCACGACGCCUGUCAACAAAACUUCCUACAUCAUCUUCAGCCCGCAGCGAAACACCAUGCCACAUGCUGAAGAUUUUAUCAGACAAGUCGGGACCGUUUAGCUGCACGGUGCCAGCCGACGAGACUGAAGGGUUUCACAGCUUCGCGCUGGCCGCACUAGCGCGCUACACUGUUCCCACAAUUAAGCUUGGUGUGGCCAUGCGGACGGGACAUCGGAACGCCAUCGAUGUCUCGCCCUAUCGCCGAGUGUGACGUGUCGGUGACAAGGCCGACUUGGUGUGGCGACGACAGUGUUGUGCACACCCCCUGUUGUCGCCUAAGAUGUUUGAGGGCAUAGCGUUGCCCCCGAUGAUGUUGUUGUAGAGUUGCCGUAAGACCGACGACUGAGGGGCAAGGCUAUCUUCAGUGUCGGCAGCCCGGCUCGAGGCUGGGUGUUGCCGUUGUUGGCGAUGCCUACGGCUUCCGGUGAAGACGGCGUUGUGCGGGGACGGCACCCGUCGACGCCAAGUAUCGAGGCCCUAGCGUUGCCCCCGGUGUUGUCGUUGUUGGUGAAGCGACGAAGUGCUAACACUGAGGGGCGCCGCCGCCCUCGAUGUUAGUGACGUAGGUUGUAGCGUGGUUGCCAACAUCUUGGCGACAUGGCUUGGCGCCAGGUGAGGAGGCUGUUCAGCAAUGAGGACCUCGGCCCCCAGCCCUCCCGCCAUGGGCGUUGUAGAGGUUGUCGGUGAAGCGGACGUUUGAAGGGCGGUGAUGCCGCUCGGCGCUCGUGGUGGUGUCGAGCCAAAGGUGCGUCGCUAGCACACAUACAUGUGGGCAGCGUGUCUCAUCCGCAUAGAAACUUAGUUGCUCCUGCACAACGUUAGAGGAACCAAACGACUGGAAAUACCAAAUGAAAACCACUGCCGAAGAGGAUGAGAGAGAGAGAGAGAAAAAAAGGUGUUUUUUUGUUUAAGAUGUUGGCUUUUCCGCUGGACACUAGCUAUGAGUGUGACGCCGAAAAAGGCUGCCGAAGGACUUAGUCAUCGGGAAUCGUCGAAAAGCCAUGACGAUCGCAAUUCAAUAACUUGUUGCCUUAUGUGUCUCUUUAUGUGUGAGUAUGUGCGUAUCACAUUGACGUGAUUGGAAUGCUCCUGAGAUGCAGCAGGGAAUCGUACCCUAGCCCAUCAUGGCAAGGAAUAAACCCACGGCUCCAUCAUGCUCCCUUUCGGGCCUCAAGAACCCAGAGACUCUGGGUGAGGUGAAUUUAGGGUAUGUGGUUUUUGGACAACGGCUGGAAAACAUAUGUUCAUGCCUUUGUUGAGGGGUGGUGGAUGACUACCUCCCGCCUUCUUUCGAGUGGUUCCCUUACUGCUUGCACGCCGGGGCUUCUGAAAUUUUGUGGGGAUUUUUAUCUCGCGCUUUUCUUCAUGGACGGCCUUGGUGGCCACGAACUCCCAAGGAUCGUCUCCCCUUGGAGAGAAUAGCUUCAUGGGCGGCCUUGGUGACCGCGAACUUUCGAGGAUCGUCUCCCCUUGGAGAGAAUAGCUUCAUUGGUGGCCUUGGUGGCCGCGGACUUCUAGGGAUCGUCUCCCCUUGGAAUGAUUGCUUCAUUGACGGCCUUGGUGGCUGUGGGCUUCAGAAAAUUGUAUCCUCUUUCGAGGCGGGUUUGCACGCGCUUGGAGGUUUGCUUUUAUGUUUCUUCGGGGACCACCUUGAGAACUUGGAAGGCAGUCAUCCACCAAUGUGGACUAAAACCCUCACGCAUUUUAUGUGGAGUUUUGCUGGCACGCCCCAGGGUCGUCAAGCGGCUACGCACCUAACCCAACUUGUGUUGGAUCGGGCAGCCCUUUCCUGAUCUUUUGCCUAGAGUCUUCCCUGGAGCGUGUGGAGUCUCUGGGAACCUGAGACACGUCCGGGAGCCUGGGGGUCUGGGGCUUCAUUGUUUAGAAGCAACCCAAGUAGUAUUCUCCGCUGCCUCCGGGAGCAUAUGGUGGGUGCGUGUCGUGUUUUGUGGGUAUAAGAGCCGCUACACUAGACAAGUCCCAAGGCAGCCAAAUCGUCCGUCCCAGCUGAGUGUGGUUCGGGAAAAGCCAAUUUUUGUAGGAUUUUGCAAUCCAUAAGAAGGGGAAACAAAAGAAACACGAACAAGUCCGCUUCAUGCAAUUGUGAGUGCAAUGCGGACUCUGAUAAGCCCCCGAAAACUCCCCUCUUGGAAGGCAAAAGAAGAAGAAAACAAGCCAAAGAGAGAAAGAAAAAAAAGAAAAGGAAUCCUUUUUAUGCAAAGUACUUUUUCAAGAACCUAUCGUUGAUCGGUGGCAUCGGCCGGGCUCCUUGCGGAUCAAUCACUUGGGCACCUCUGAGGACGUGCGUCAUGGCGCACUGGUAGGUGGCACCAGCGUUCAUCAACCCGAAAGGCAUCAUGGUGUGGUAGAAGUUGCCUUUCGAGGUUCUGAACGCGGUGUCGAUGGCGUCAAGUGUUGGCUCGAUGUAGUUGGGGACAACAUUGCUACUCUCAAUGUCCGACGAUUGAGAGGUGACAGGUUCCUGGAUUUCUCCAGUCUCCUUCGCCGGCGCCUGCCCCAGCGCUGGGACUGGAAUGGCACCCAAGUGGGGAGUAUCAUCCCCUGUCGAGGGAAUGACUCAUCCCCCUCUAACCUGGGGACGGACCUUGAUAGAAGGCGGCGUUGGCUUGGAUCAGCCCACCAUUGAGUUGGCGGCGGUACUUCCGUCAAAGGUGCUCUGCGAGGAGCUCGCGGAGGCAAGCCCGACGCAUGCGGAAGGUGACGAAUCUUAGUCAAAGGCUGCUCCUUGUGAGUGACAAGGGCAACCUCCUGAGGAAUGAGAGGUGUUGUCGUGGUGGCGAGGACAAGGUCGGAUAGCCGAUGCUCCACCUGAGCGAUCGGAACCCGUGAUGGCUCGCCUGCUUGGCCUUGUCCCCAUGAGGUCCACGACUCCACGCUCACCAUGUUCACGGAGUGGUAGUCUGGAUUGACGGCCUCUGGGUCUAGGGUGACCCUUUUCUCAUUGACGGCUCGUUGGAGCCAUUCCUUGAAGGCGAUGCAAUCCUCGAUUGCGUGGCCUACGUACCUGUGGUAUGGGCAAUACAAAGGAUUGUCAUCCAUGUUUACCUGGUCAGGUCUUUGAGGUUCGGGCAGAUUCAGAGCCCGAUGCUCCAUCAGUUGGUCGAACAUGUCUUUCACCAACUCGCGGCGAAAGAUGUACGACUUCUUGAGAAGAUCAUGCAUGGAUGCACGUCGCCUCCCCCCAGCUUGCUCGGUCCAUACACCCAAGGUGGGCACGGUACUUCGUGGUGCUGAGGUAAGCAUCCUGGUGGCGUUCGCCUCCGCCGCCACAUUUGUCCUGCCCCCAUUGUUAGGGAGCUUAGACGUUGAGGCAAAGCGCUUGGCAGGGUCAAAGGCGCUCGCAUUCUUGUAGAGCUCCAUGAUCUGUGGAGACUUGUCGAACUCCAGCUUGGUGGCUGCAACAGCUGAGCUGAGAGCGCUAAAGUUUCUUGGCUCACGCCGAGACACCUCUAGCGACCAGUCCUGCUGCAUGCCAUGGACACACAUCUCAAUGGCAUCCUCGAGAUGCAUCUCCCUAGCGAGACGCACAUAGCUGUUGCGGAAGCGGAUGAUGUAGUCAUCGAUGGACUCCUCUCGCCGCUGCCGAACUUGUGCUAGUUCGACAACAGAGAAAUCCUUCUUCAUGGCGACGAAGUGUCUCUUGAAGACUUCCUUCAUGCUCGCCCAGCUGGUGAUGGAUCCCACCGGUAAGCGACUAUACCAGUGGAAGGCAGGGCCAGUCAAUGACCCUGAGAAUUGUCAAAGAAGAAGUGAAGAGCUAUUAGCGGUGUCGCCGCAAGCCGCCUCGAAAUACGCUAGAUGCUCCCGUGCAUCACCAGUCCCGUCAAACUGACGGAACUUCGGCGGAUGCCAACCAGCAGGGAACGACACUAGGUCGUGCCAUGCUUCAUAGGGCUUCUCGAGCUCGCUUUCUAAGGUGCGGGGCGCUUGCUCGAUGGACAUCUGCUUGAGCUUCUUGGUCACCAUGUCUUCGACGAUGUCGUGGUAGUUCUUUAACAUGCUCGGGUCUGAUGCCCCAUCGGCCACACCGGUGGGCUUGACCAAUGGUCGCCCCCGCAAGCCUUGGUCUUGCUAUUGACGCCCAUCAUUGGGUGGCGCACUUGCUAGCUCCAUGGCUUGAAGCUCCUCCUCUUGCGGGUCCACCACUCGCCUUGGUGUCCCCGGCGCCUCGAGGUUAUUGUUCAUCAUGAGAUCGAUAAACCGAUCAACUUUCGCGGUUAGUUGAUCGAUUGUACGGCCUUGCUCGCGCACCUGAUCAACAAGGUUUACUUCGAGCGGUUCGCCAUUUCCUGCAAGACGGGAUGGGUUAGCGUUGGAGGCUCUCAAUGCCUCCGUUGCUGCUGCUUCCGCGGCCUCCUGGUCGGCGUCACCAUCAGUGGCCACAUGUACGGGCGCCGUGUGGAGAUCUUCAAAGCCGCCUUCAUAGUCUGAUACAACAGACUGAGCAAGCUCAUGGUAGGGCGGCACGCUCGAGUGCAUUUGACAGAGAAGCUGCCCGAAGCUUCGAUAUCCUAGCUAAUAGUGUCCUUGAGGGAGUCGGUAGUUACAGGUUGUAAAAUAUUCCUAAGAGCUUACCAAGCAAUUGUUUCAUUCGUCGUGAGCGAUCGAAAAAACCCACGUUGGCACAAACACCUCGCUAACCAGAAUGUGGGGAUCCGCCCUGAUGACAAACGUAGAGGGAAUGGAUCGUACAGAGGUUUGUCUGGAGUCCAUUUGGCCAACGAGAAUUUGGUGUUAAGACUGUUCCCCUUUGGUGUUACAAGCAAAGAAAUAAGAGUUGGGGAAGUUUUUUGCUUCAAGUAACCGCACCCAAAGGCCAUCGUGGUCCUGUGAGAGAUUCCAAAUCCAUUUGGCAAUAAGGGCGAGGUUCAUCUUUCUAGAAUUCAGAAUGCCGAGGCCUCCUUGGUUUUUAGGUCUGGCCAUAUGAUAUUUGUGUUUUUUGGCAUCGGCUUCCUAGAAAAAUCUAGCCUGCACUUUCUCAAAUUCAGAAUGUACCCCAUCCCCAAGGAUAAACAAGCCCAUCGCAAAGGUUGGAAUCGCAGAACACGCGUUUAGUCAGCGUAAGACGAGGAACUGAAGACAUGAGCUUCACUUUCCACAGAUCACAAGUAGUACGCUCGUACCUUCACAAGAGAGGAGCACCUUCAGAAACAGAAACUUGGACUGAAACCUACUCCCUCUGUUCCAAAAUAGAUGACCCAACUUUGUAUUAACUUUAAUACAAAGUUGGGUCAUCUAUUUUGGAACGGAGGGAGUAUGAAAUAGUCCGAUCUGCUUCUUCUACGCUGCUAUUGCACCUGAAAUUAUAGCAGAAAUGGAGAUAAUACUACAAGAGUAUGCGGUUCCUCCUCUCUAAGUAAGGCAUGAACAAUCCUUUGCCUGCUGUCUUCAUAUUGUCUACAUGACCCUUUGCUUCACGCUGAUUUCUUGCCUCUUUACCGAAUCAUGAAGCACAGGCAAUAUGCUGAUUUGUUUUGCUUUUCCUAAAGAUGAUUUUCCACCUUGCAGGUUUUCAUGGGAGUUAGCGGCUUAGCACACAGCAAGAUAUUGACAUUAGGAUUUGCAUCUUUUGACAGAAUCUGGGAGUCUGACGAUGUAUACGGUGAUUUUUCUUCCUUGCCGCAUACGGCUCCGACGCGUACAGCCACAAGGCACAUCGGCCGCUUUGCGUUAAGAGCGCAUAUCGCGAAGCAUCUCUUCUCUUAUACUACUUAAAAAAAACGUAGUGUUCCCUCUUCUCUCUUACGUCGCCCACCUUUCGUCCAUCAUUUUCCUACGACCCCCCUCUCCACCGAUUUUCUUGUCUCCCUCCAUCGAUUUUUUUUACUGGUUCUCUAUUUACCGGUUUUAUCCUCAUCUGACCGGGACAGACCAACUUUAUGUUUCACAUAUGGUAACAAAUCUCAUUUUUGGUAAUACAAACAAAAUCAAUUCACGUAUUGUAAUCAAUAUCAUCUUUGGUAACACAAGAGUAGUUUUGGACAGUAAUCAAUCUCCUUUACUUAUGUGAAAAAGUUGAUAAGAAUUUAUGUCAAUCAAUCUCGGCGGCGGACAAAAUUGAUAUUCAAUCAAUCCCGGGUGGUGGGGAUUGGAUCGUGGACAAAAUAGGAAAGGAUUUUUGUCAAUCAAUCUCAGCGAUGAACGAGAGUACGCGGCCGCCCAGCUCCAACGCAGCGCUAAUCUGUAGUGAUCCAUGCCGCUUGACAUCUUGCCGCGCGACUGCAGCUCGGAGGGCGACCGGAAAAUAGGGUCCUGGGUUUUCCUGGCCAUCCAUGCGCCGCUCACGUUACGUCGUCUCUGCUUCCCAACGGCGAUCUCCAUGGAGGACAUCUAUGCUUAGGAGGAGGACACCGUUGCGGCCUUCCAUGAGCGGCUGGCUAGGCAUCCUCCCCGACAAGUUAAGGUCGUGUUAGGAAACUACUUCCUGUUUUCCUUUUGUUUUUGCCUACUAUGGAGCGUCUGUGGAGCACGUGUUUCACUUGCUGUAGCAUAACCUGCAAUCUAACCUAUCCACUUCUUGAUUGUUGUGGUUGUAGCUUGCUCGCUUGCUCACUUGCUUGCUCGGAGUACUGCCAGAUCUAAGCUCUACAAGGCUGGACUUCUGCUCGACCAUGGCCCUUUCCCAUGUGGCAGGGACCUCCCCUGAUUGAUAGUUCAGAAUUCAAUAUAACUUUUGCAUUUAAUUAAGGUGCAAACAUGAUUUCUUACACCUGUAACUAAACCAAUAUGUCAGAUGCUUUUUUCAGGUGUAUACUUGUUAGUCUCAUCCAUGGGACACGAUAGCCAAUUCUUUUGUAAGUGCGUUGGAGCAACCAAAAUUGAAGUGAGAACAACAUGCUUUCUUGCUAUUCCAUCUUAAAAUUAUAUCUUGUUUUUAAUCAGUUUUUUGGAAUCUUAUUCAUGAAAAAUGUCUACUUUGAAAAUGCAAGUUAUGUGCUAAUCACAGAGAUAUGAUUGACUUACGAAGAACAGAUUGCCAAAGAUGUGAAUGUGAUGAGUUAUGUAGUUCUUAUACAAAAAAAUUCGGAAGAGAGUUGACUUAGUUGGUUCAUUUUCUUGUCUGUAGUAUAAUCGGUCAUGUAUUGAGUGAUUGACAUAGUAAUUUAGUAAUUAAAGGUCAAUCCAGGAACUUUUCUACAAUCAAAUAGGAUCAGGUAUUGUACUUGUAUAAAAGGUUUGGCCAAGGAAUGAUUCCUAUUGACUUCUAGGCAAAAAGAAAACAAACGUUUGACCAAGAUAUAGCAUGAAUAGUACUUCUAUUUAGCAUUUGUUGGCAAAUCACCGGAUACAAUGAAAACCAUUCCCUGAUUAAUCUUUUUAUAUAAGUGCAAUACUUGCUCAUGUUUGAUUUCAUAAGUUCUGGGAUUUCGGACUUCUUUGAAUUACUAAACCAUUUUUGAAUAUAGAGGGUGUGGCAUCCAAGUGCUCUUAUGUAUUUUCGGAUUGAUGUACCACUAUUUUAUGCUCACUGAGAAUAGUAAUGGCAAAGCUGGAUAUUUUCAUUUGACGUGGGAAAGAGUACACAAGUGAUAGUUGUGACAUGCAAACCUCUUGCAAAAAAACAGAACUCAUGUGACCUUUUACCCCUGGGCUAAAAAUAUUUUUAUUACGUAAUAGGGACCUUUAUUGUUCAGUAAAUCUUGUUUUUGUUUGAGAGCAUGAUAAAAGAGGUUGCUAUUGUACGGUCAAAGUGAUUGAUUUUUUUUUUUGCGGGAAUCAUAGUGUAUUCAUUCCACAGUAAUAGAGUUACAAUCUCCAGGGACUAGCUCACUGAUACAUGAUGGGGAUUGAUUUAACCAGCAUGUUGUGUUAUCCCCAUUCUGAUCAAAAGUCNNNNNNNNNNNNNNNNNNNNNNNNNNNNNNNNNNNNNNNNNNNNNNNNNNNNNNNNNNNNNNNNNNNNNNNNNNNNNNNNNNNNNNNNNNNNNNNNNNNNNNNNNNNNNNNNNNNNNNNNNNNNNNNNNNNNNNNNNNNNNNNNNNNNNNNNNNNNNNNNNNNNNNNNNNNNNNNNNNNNNNNNNNNNNNNNNNNNNNNNNNNNNNNNNNNNNNNNNNNNNNNNNNNNNNNNNNNNNNNNNNNNNNNNNNNNNNNNNNNNNNNNNNNNNNNNNNNNNNNNNNNNNNNNNNNNNNNNNNNNNNNNNNNNNNNNNNNNNNNNNNNNNNNNNNNNNNNNNNNNNNNNNNNNNNNNNNNNNNNNNNNNNNNNNNNNNNNNNNNNNNNNNNNNNNNNNNNNNNNNNNNNNNNNNUCUCUUAUACUGUAUACAAAUACUAUAUUUGAAGUUACUUACAUUCCCACUGGACUAAUUUCCCACGAUAAAUAGCCUUGCGAUACACAGCAAUACAUAUGUACAUUGCAAGCUUGGACUAUUGCCAUGGAUAGACACGUACAUGGCAAUUUGAGAAUAUUUCCAUGGUCACCACUAAUAACACAUAUAUAUCCUUGAUAGGUAAUUUUGGAUUGUUUCUAAAACUUGCCUAUCUUGAAAAUGAAAACCACAUGUAAUUCAUCUCUUUGAUAAGCAUGCUCGGACUAUUUCCGAAAACACUUGUCUACUCCAUCUUUGUUUAUAUAUAUGUUUGGUCACAUAUACAUUAGGCAAGGUAGCGAUUGUUGUAUGUGUAUUGACACCAUGAUAUCCCAUGACAACGAUUUAAGAAGGGUGAGGUGGCAAGGGGUGGCAAUAGUAUUGUGAGUCCAUGAUAGGUGACAACAUAUAAUUAAUUGGUUACACGUGUGUUGCACAUGCAUGCUUACAUGAUGCAUCAAGGGGGGUUGCGAGCUAGAUGGACCAUGGAUAGAGGUGGUGAGUUUGGAUUGGGGAUGCCGAAAGGUAGAUAUAGGGGUUGGAAGAAGGUCGUUUAAUGGUAAAAAAAGAAAUCAUCAAUGCCACCUGAUGUGUGUGAGAAUCCUAAAGAUAUGUGUUAUAUACUAUUGCCCGUUUCAAUGCAUGGGCAAUUAACUAUUUAAUAGUAAAAAAACUCAUCAGCGCCUGAUGUGCAUAAGAAUCCUAAAGAUAUGAGCUAUAUAUAAUUGAUGUUGAACACUAAAAUAUGUAUGCCCCGUUGCAUCGCACGGGCAAUUAACUAGUCUAAACCAAUAGACAAGCCUAUAUGUUCAAGGUCACUACAUUUCUAGCACAGCAAAUGCCCCGUCCCAGCACCUGACAAAAUCCUACGUGAAGCGCAAACUUACAUGAUGGACCAAACACGCAUACACCAGCCACUUUUAUUUUUCAUGAAAGCUAACAAUUAUAUUUCACUUUUAGACAUCAAUACAAUUUCUCUGUAGUCAGUAGAUUCAAAGAUUUACUGAAUCAUUAGCUACAGCCAAACCAAAUAAAGAAUUUCACAAAGGAAGUGCUUUGCAAAAUACCAACUGCAUCAGGUCAACUAGAGAUCAAAAGAGUAACAAGUCUGACCGAACCUUUUAGUACACUAGCAGGUUGACAAUAUGCACUAAGAUUUCGGAUAAUAAUUAAUAAAUGAUUGUUAUGGAUAAGAGGGCCUAUCACAGUACAAUUUAGCCCCAUGAAACUAAGACAUGUCCAGAACAACAGCCAGUGCUAGGCAAACAAGAACAAGGGUAAUAACAUUCUUUGAAAAUGAAAUGAUGCUUAAUAUGUAGGUUUACAGGCAUUGCUGUGAAGUCUGAACUGGAAAUCAAGCAAGCAGGAGUAUAAGCGCCAGCAAAUUGGGGGGCCAUGAUUGAAGCAGAUUCAGAGGUACACAGACAAAUUGUUCAGAUGAAAGAAGAGCCAGUUUUUGGGAGGAAACACAGGGGUGGUUUGAAGGUAAAGUUACUACCCCUCAGCAUCAGCUAAUGGCUCUGAGAACAGAGGAACAUAGGGUAGAAAUUUGUGUACACUGUUUUUCUCAAGAUUAAUGAUACAGCCAACUUUCUGAUGCCACAUGUCAUAUGAUACCAAGGUAUCACCUCCACACUGAGCCAGGAAAAUGGUGUCGCAAUCUGGAUGAAUCUCAACCACCCUGUACUUCUCUCAAGUCAUGCUGAUAAGUGUAUCGAUGCUGGCAGUAUGCUUCAGGACCCAUUGUUUACUGUCACAAUCCUUGAGGCACCAGAGUGCUAUCUCAGAAACUAGGAUUUCAUUGUUAUUAUUGAGAGGAGCUAUAGCAUAGUGUAAGCACCCCUGCGACAAUCCAAUAGUACCAAAUUUUGAACAAUACGGCACACGGAUAGUCUUCCACACUUUCCCCUCCAUGUCCACCCCCACCAGCACAUACUCGCCGUUGAUGUCCUCCAGGUUACCCAUGAUGUACAGCAUACCGCCGACAAAGACACAUUUACUCCUGAACAGGGUAGCUUUCUCAACUAUCCCACUGUCUCUAUGAAUCCAGGCUCCUGUGCGAGACGAGUAGAUGUUCACUCAUGUGAUCAACGUUUUCGGAAAGGUCCGCUCGAAACAAAGAACAUGGAAAUGGGACGAGACUGCUGGAUCGAAAGCCAGGCCUGCGGUAUGGUUAAGUCUGUUCAUUCGCUCCUGUGUUUGAGGUUGAGGUGGUAGCUCCACCCACCUCCCGGUGGCGGGAUUGCACACAACAAAAUGGUAAUCAUGCCUGCUGCUGUUGUAACGGCGGUAGAGAAGGAGGCCAUUGCAAGCGUCCACCAGGGUGAUGCCCUCAUCCUAGUUAGGAUGUAGGUAAGGGAGGGAGGGGUCGAAGGAGGCUGCGCCGCCGGAGAAACUGGCGAAGUGGUGGCGAUAUCCGUUGUUGUAGAAGGAUGUGUAGAGGAAGCCGGCAAGGGUC
Molecule: long non-coding RNA, 64710 nt
Filed under: Triticum aestivum (bread wheat)
Lineage: Eukaryota; Viridiplantae; Streptophyta; Magnoliopsida; Poales; Poaceae
Description: long non-coding RNA (TAES_LNC015774)
Source: RNAcentral